Non-coding RNA from Podarcis lilfordi (Lilford's wall lizard), 66840 nucleotides. The record is from the annotation of a GenBank genome assembly. Lineage: Eukaryota; Metazoa; Chordata; Lepidosauria; Squamata; Lacertidae.
UUAAAAAGAAUAGGAAAUAAGCUACCCGGCAGCUCAGCGGAACGCUUCCUCCAGGAGGGGAGAGCGAGGCUGCAGAGCCUCUCAGGAAAUUGCCAGCAUCGUGAGAAUCGCAAAAGUGGAGGGGAUCGGGCUCUGCUUGCAGCCAGACAGCCAAGGUAAGGCGAUGGUGUUUCGCCCAUUUAUCUCGCUGCCCCCUCGUGCCGUUGUGUGUGUUUUGACUAUUGCUGUUGCUGCCGCAGCCGCUGUUCCUCGCUGGUGGAGGGAGGCAGCAGCAGCAGCAGCAGAUUCCAUUUUGCCUGGGCUUCUGAAGAGGUGUCAGGUUGCUUUUCUUCCUUUAUAUUUAUUUAUUUUAACAGGACGCUCCUCGCUGCCUUUCGGGACUGUUGUCAAGUGUGUGUUUGUGUGUGUGUGUGUCUCCCCUGGGUGGGUUUGAGCCUGCGAGGUGGCUCCUCUUGCAAGGCUGAUGCCUGGGUGCCUGAAGUAACCUCUUGCGGUGUCAAUCGGCGGCUGUUAACCCUCUCCGCGCCUUGCGCCCAGGAAGGCCUGCGCAAAGGUGGUGUUGAUGUCGGUGGUCCAUAGGGGGCUGGAGCGUGCGCCGGGGAGGGCAGCGGUGUGUGUGUGUUGAGGGAAUGUUUGAGGAGGCCUGCUGGCCACAGGAGGGCCAAAAACAAGUCUCAGGUGGGCGAAUGAUCUUGCAAAAAAAAAAAAAAAAAAAAAGGGAGGGGGGGAGGGGAGAGAGAAGGAGGCAGAGAAGUGAGGCACACCAAGUUGCAAAGUGACCAGGCCUCCCUAUGCAGCUUCACUUGCAAAUAUGUGCAGUUUUCCCCUUGCAUACCGCUUGUGUGCGGAGAGGCUGGCGGUGCCUUUCACCCUGUGCUUGUUGGGGAAAUGUUGCCAGGAGCCUGCUGCCCUCCGCUGCUGCAGUGAUCUAUCUGAUCAAGGAGCCUUGUUGGGGAUGCGCUGCUCCUCUGCUUGGUGUAGCCAGGCUUCGUUUAUUUUGCUGGUGGGUCCGAAGGAGGUCUCUGAGUUAUGUGGUUGUGUCUCUUGGUGUCAGGAAGGGUGGGCAGCUGCUAGUCUGGCAGGGGAAGGCUAAGGCUUACCUGGGAGCAAACCCCACUGAAUGAAUGCAUUGGGGCUUACUACUGAUGGGUAGGAUUGCGCUGUAAGCUCCUCUCCCUGCAGCCCCCCAUGAGUUGAGUGCAAAUGACUGACCACAGAGGAAGUGUUUCCCUCCUGCUGGUUGUAUUUGGGUUGCUGAGCACAGAUGUGCGGCCUUGGCUUCAGUGUAUUGCACCGGUGGUGGCUUCUGACUCUUGUGCUUCAUGCCCUACCUCUGUCUGGGCACCCCUGUGUCUCGUCCCCCCCCCCAUUGGCCCACCACCAAAGCUGCUGGAUAUGAUUUUAUCCAAGACACAUCUAAGCAACAUUCAGACAUUCGGGCUUUGCAUUCACCGGGGACCGAUUUGCAGGAUCUUGUCUCCUAAAAGCCCUGCAGAAGGAGAUGGCAACCUUUAUCCACCAGUCUCAUGCAGUACCUGCUUGACUGCCUAUCUUUACCCAUGCAUGAGAUUCCACCCCCCUCCCCACCUUCCUUUUUCCCUGCUGGGUUUCAAGGGAACUGCAAAGCUGUGAUUGCAGCAGUGACUGCAGAGGGCUGUUCUCAGUUGGAGGUAAAAAAAAAAAAAAGGGCACCCGAGUGCACAAUCUGGCAAGUCGAUUGUUGGGUGGUAAUUGGCCCAGUUAUUACAUAACAACAGAGAGGCAGAUGCAAUGUAAGCAAAGUGCUACCUUAUACUGUACUGGAUUAAUGAGAACUCCAUAUAAGAGGAAAAAGGGGCUUGCUUUUUUCUGAUCAGUUAACCAUUUCCUGUUGGGGUUUACCAUUCACAUGACUGUGAACGACAGGGGAUAUACAGUGGUACCUUGGGUUACAUACACUUCAGGUUACAUACGCUUCAGGUUACAGACUCCGCUAACCCAGAAAUAGUGCUUCAGGUUAAGAACUUUGCUUCAGGAUGAGAACAGAAAUCAUGCUCUGGCGGUGCGGCGGCAGCAGGAGGCCCCAUUAGCUAAAGUGGUGCUUCAGGUUAAGAACAGUUUCAGGUUAAGAACGGACCUCCGGAACGAAUUAAGUACUAAACCUGAGGUACCACUGUAUUCUGCUGGCAAAACGAAUGUCCCCAAAGGUGCUUUUAACAAAACAAAUAUAGGCUUAUUGUCGUCCUAACCUGCGUCUUCAUAGAAAAGUCACCUGAGCCUAUUGUCUCUGCCAAGGUGUUCAUUACGCUUGGUAAACAAGGAGUAGGCCAGGGAUGUGGAUCAUGUGACCCUCCAGGUUUUGGACUGUGAGUCGUGCCACCCCUUGCCAUUGGCCAUUCUGGCUGAGCCUGAUGGGAGCUUUGGCCUUGCAGGUGUUGUUAGACACCAAGUUCCCCCAUCCCUAAUCUAGGCAAAUUUAUCACAUGCUUAGUAACAGAGUGUAAAACCACAUUUCGUAGAAGGUCACAGUCUGGCUGCCAGCAUUUGGGUCUUCAGCAGGGGAAACAUUUGAUAUUGGUUAGCACCAGAGUCAUUAAAGACGCCUUUAAAAAAAGUUUGUAUUGCAUAGUUUAAAUGAUUGAAUUGUUCCUUUUGUUGAGUAUAAACCCUCACAAGGAGUUGGAUCCAGCAAGAAACCCAUUGGGUCUUCUUGUAAUGCAACCUGCCUCUACAGUUACAGUGGUACCUCGGGUUACAUACGCUUCAGGUUACAGAUGCUUCAGGUUACAGACUUCACUAACCCAGAAAUAGUGCUUCAGGUUAAGAACUUUGCUUCAGGAUGAGAACAAAAAUUGUGCUCCGGUGGCGCAGCAGCGGCAGGAGGCCCCAUUAGCUAAAGUGGUGCUUCAGGUUAAGAACAGUUUCAGGUUAAGUACGGACCUCCGGAACGAAUUAAGUACUUAAUCUGAGGUACCACCGUAUUGGUAUUUGUAGAUUUUCUGAUCCAUUGUGAUGAUGUGUGUGCCGGGUGCUGCAGACCUCUGGCCAGGGACAUUUACAUGAGCAAAUAUCCACCCAUUUAUCUGUUUUAUUUUUGUGUCGAUUUUCUACCCCCCGCCAAAAAAAAAAUCCUUGCUCAAAGCGGCUUGCAACAAAGAAACAGGGAUGUAUUUCAAAUAAACACAACAAAGUCAAUUUCAUAACAACAUAGCAAAACAAUAGCAUCCUAACAGUUUCAUAAUAGCAUAGCAAAACAACAACAACAUCGCAAUGGUUACUAGCCACGGUGAUAGCAACUACCGUAUUUUUCUGUGUAUAAGACUAGUUUCCCCCCCUAAAAAAUAAUAUCAAAAGUUAGGGGGCAUCUUAUACACAGGGCCAUCUCCCCCCAUUUUCUUAAAUCUGAGUCCCCCAAAAUAGGGGGUGUCUUAUAGACAGAAAAAUACGGUAUAUGCAUAUUAUGAAGCAUAAGUGGAGGACUCCUGCAUCCAGGAUGAGCUGCCCCCUUGCAUUUUUUGUAGCCAAUAGUUGUGUAAUUGGCGCUGCUGUCAUUCCAUGAGCUGAAGGGCAAGUUGCUAACCAUUCAGGUCAUGAGGUAAUAAGGUCCAUGAAAUUGUUCUGAUGUCAGUUGUUUUCAGUGAGUUCUAUGCCUGAAUUCUGAACUGCAACUGUACUUCUUCAGGGGAACGUUAUCAUUUUAAAAUAACUUCUUAGUUUCGCCAAAAGGAACUGAAUAUAGUGGUACCUCAGGUUAAGUACUUAAUUCGUUUCGGAGGUCCGUACUUAACCUGAAACUGUUCUUAACCUGAAGCACCACUUUAGCUAAUGGGGCCUCCUGCUGCCGCCGCGCCUCCAGAGCACGAUUUUUGUUCUCAUCCUGAAGCAAAGUUCUUAACCUGAAGUACUAUUUCUGGGUUAGCAGAGUCUGUAACCUGAAGCAUAUGUAACCUGAAGCAUAUGUAACCCGAGGUACCACUGUAUGUCCCCAUUCUUAAGAUGGGACAAUUAAUUGCUCUACACACAUUAAUAGGUUUGAGUCACAGCUUUGUGUUUCUAAGUUUCGGGCCCUAGAUAGGUGGGGGUUGAGUAACCCAUUUCUCCUCCCCCCCUCUCUCAUUCUCUCACUCUCUCUCCAUCCAUCCACAACAUACGCUUAAAAGAGUCAUGGCUUCCCACACAGAAUCCUGGGAACUGUAAUUUGUUAAGGGUGCUAAAAGUAGUCAGCCCUUAUUCCCCUCACAGAGCUACAGUUUCCAGAGCUCCCCAGGAAAGAGGACUGGUUGUUAAACCAUUCUGAGAACUGUAGCUCUGUGAGAGAAAUUGGGAAUCUCCUAACAACUCUAGGAACCUUUAACUAACUACAGUUUCCAGGAUUCUUUGGGGGAAGCUGUGGCUGUUAAAGAUAUAUAAUAGUGCUUUAGGUGUAUUGUAUCAUAUGAGCUCUGUGCUGCAGAGCCCACCAGGAGCCAUAUUGAAGUUGUCUUCCAUCUUGGCUUGCCUGCCUUUAAAUACCUGCAGGCGAGCCUUGCACCCUCCCACUUCCUGUCCUCCUCUCCAGUUUCCUGUAGGAACAUGGCUGGCAUUGCCAUGGUAACAUGGCUGUGCUGUUCCUUCUGCUGGCUUGGCUGAGGCCCAUCAUUGCCAUGGCAAUGGAAGACAUGGUGGCUGUUUUGCCUUUGGCCUAGUGUUCCAGGAGACUCUCUUGGUCCACCAGGAGAGGAUGGAAUUGGGGACAGUACACUUUUUUUUGCUAUACUUGGUGCCACAAAGUUUCAGUUAUCUGCAAAAGGUAACUGCACCGUGCUCUUGUAUGCAUGGGUGUUAUUUUAUCACUGCUAUGCCCCGGGGGUUCUGUACAAUACCCUCCAACAUUUUGAAGCCCAAAUAUGGGAGACCAUCUUCCCAUUCUUUUAACUGUGAGAGCAUGGCUGCCAUUUUGGUUGCUGUGAUCUCGCGUGAUUUCCACUUUUUUUGGGGAAAAUUCUGCUGCAGAAUCCCAGCAACCACAAUGGCUGCCAUUCUCUCACAAUAAAAAACAGAACGUCUUGUUUUUUUCUGGGACACUUGCGCAUAGCUGUCAACUUUCAGAUUUGAAAAUAAGGGAUCAGCAGCCUCGGAAAUAAGGGAUCAGCAGCAUAAGUGUUAAUUUUCGGAUUUGAAAAUAAGGGAUCAGCAGCCUCACCUGUCCCGGGGACAGUCUACAGGAUAUCUAACAAUCCGGGAUAGCAGUGGGAAGCAGUGGGGAAUGGCGCUGGAAUAAGGGAAUUUCCCACAAAAAAAGGGAAAGUUAACAGCUAUGCACUUGCGGGGUAUAUGCUGCUAAUGCAAAUUGUAGUCCAAAAUAUUUGGAGGGCAGCAGUUUGCAGAAGGCUGGAGUAGUAGUGCUGAGAGUGUCUGAUGAGGGCCUGGGACCAGAGAGACCCAAGUUCAAAUACCAAGUCAGCAAUUAAGUGGGUGGCCUUGGGUCAGUUGUCCUCCUCCCUUGCUGAACCCACCUCACAGAAUUUGUUGUAAGGAUGUAAAAUGUAAUCCAUACUAAAGCAAAUAAAUUCCUCCACAUAUGGUGAACCUAACUCAACAUCCUUAAGGGCCAGAAACUGGAAGCAAACAAAAAUAACAACAAUAAUGAAAACUUCACAGGAUGCUGUGUUUUGCUGUUUAUAACACUGUGACUAUGUAGCAUGAUGGAAGAAUCUGUGCAACCUUGAGUGAGUAGCCACUCCUUGUUUCUUUAUUGUUUCCAUUAUUUCUCUAAACAGCUGGCGACCUGAGUUUGGGAAACCCUGGUCUAACCGAUCAAAGUGGAGGUUUGCUUGUGGUUCAGUGUACUGUGAUUACACUGAAUCACAGGUGAAACGGCACAUUGUGCAUUCCAGCUAAGGGAGGUUUGCCUGUUAUUCAGUGUAAUUGCUGAAUAUUUAUUCUCAAAUAUAUUGUAGGCUUAGGAACAUAGAAAUAUAGGAAGCUGCCUUAUGCCAAGUCAGACCAUCUAGUUCAGUAUUGUCAACACAGACUGGCAGCAGCUCUCCAGCAUUCCAGACAUGGAAUCUUUUCCAGUCCUACCUGGUGAUGCCAGGGAUUAAAGCGGGAAUCUUCUGCAUGUGCUCUACCACAGAGCUAAGUUCUAUCCAAAGUCUCUGCGUUCUGUCUAGCACCGAACAACGGUGGUUUUGCAAUUGAUUUCAGCUGGCAGUAGAUUGGGCCCCAGUUUCUUCUUCUUUUUCCCUCAUAGAAUAACAGUGACUUUGCUUGAUGAUGCUCCUUAGGCAUCCAUGUUCCCUAAAGUAUUAGGAAAACAUUAACUUGGAACAUGGUUGUGCAAUUUUGCUUUCUGACUCUUUGACGAAGUGACAAGCUGCCUUUUGUGUGGCUUCGAGUUUGGCAAAACAACCGUCAUCUUCUGGCAACGGCGCUGCUGGGUCAGAAAGUCUGCAAGUGUCUUAUUGCUCCACAAAACCUGAGAGCCUUAACUGGAAGCCUUGCAUGCCAAGUGUCACAUCCUUUAGCCAGAAGAGACCGCGUGAUGUCAAAUGGCUCAUGACUGCCUAAGUUCUGGUCCAUCAAAAGGCUUCAGAAAACUGCUCUGGGUUCAUAGCAGAGGCAAUCAGAAAGAGGGCCACUAACUGACUGCUGAUUCAAGACUUUAAAUUGUGCUCUUAUAUCAAAUUUCCUUUUCUGCGUAUACUGUAAUGUUUUACUGUUGCUAUGGCCAUUGGCUAAUGUGAAUAAAGUUUUAUCUAUCUAAACUGCUCCGGGUGGUUAGAAUUAAAAGUUCAUCCCUGAUCCUGGAUGCUGCUCCAGCAGACACUUCUGUUUCCUCACUCUGCUGAAUGGUAGGGCCAGCUCCUUUAGACAACUGAUGGGCUCUCCUUUCUCCUCACACUAGAUCACACCUCAAGCAGCCUCCUCUGUUUCUGUAUGGGUCAGGUAUACAAUGGCCCUAUCAACAGUUAGGUCCUGCUCAUUUCCUAGGAGAAAGGAGGAUAAUAUGGUGAGAGGAACAGUUUUCUAACUCUAUUGCAGGAGACAAUAUGCCUCUGAAUUGCUGGGUAAAGCAAGUGUGAACAGCGCUGUUCCACUCACAUCACAUUCCCCAUGGGCAUCUGGUUGGCUCUUAACUUUAUGUAUUUCUCCUUGGGCUUCUUGGAGGAAGGUAGAAUAUGUGUAAUUAAUAAUCCGAUUAUAAUCCUGAGCAGCUCCCCACCCCUAUUUCAAAUGGAUGCUCCAUUGUCAGUGUCGCCCAUAAUCUUUUUCUUCUGAGGGUGGUAGGGGUGCAUUAGGACAAACGUGUAAAACAGAAAAAGUUAUGGAUGGUGCUGCAAUUCAGGAACCUCCCGGAAAGUCAGUUUUUAUAGGGGACACUGUGGGGGGAAAAAAAACUAAAUUCCAACUCAUUCUGUUGGAAUGCAGCUCGCUCUUAAAAGUGAAAGCAUGCCCUGACAAUGCCGAGUGGAAGUGCUAGCUGUGAUUUUGUACAUCUUGGCUAUUUAUUACCGUGUUACAUAACAGAAGCGUGAUGGGAAGGAAACACUUUUUUAAUUCCGAAGUCUGAAUAUCUUCCUGGGUUCUGUAGACGCUGGUAGCCUACUAAAGUCCCAGAUUUUGAAACUGAUAUUAACUCUGCAAAGAGCAGAUAAUAUGAAUCUAAUAUCUAAUCCUAAUGGUCUAAUAGGAAAGCUGGUAAUACAGGGUUGGAUCUUAAGAACUGUUUGCAGAAGGAAGGUGGGAGAAGUAGAAGCCCUGUUAAGAACACCUUCUCAACCAUUAAGAGGAAACAAAACUCCCUUGAAAAUCAUUGUGGGGGGGAUAAAUUUCUCUAAUUCUUUUUUGUGUGUGGUGGGGCUGUUGGUGGGGGGCUAAUGUGAGGUAGGGACGCGGGUGGCGCUGUGGGUUAAACCACAGAGCCUAGGACUUGCUGAUCGAAAAGUCGGCGGUUCGAAUCCCUGCGGCGGGGUGAGCUCCCGUCGUUCGGUCCCAGCUCCUGCCCACCUAGCAGUUCGAAAGCACCCCUAAGUGCAAGUAGAUAAAUAGGGACCGCUUUCUAGCAGGAAGGUAAAUGGCGUUUCCGUGUGCGGCGCUGGUCUUGGCUAGCCAGAUGCAGCUUCGUCACGCUGGCCACAUGACCCAGAAUUGUCUUCGGACAACGCCGGCUCCCGGCCUCUUGAGCGAGAUGAGCACGCAACCCUAGAGUCGGUCACAACUGGCCCUGACUGGCAGGGGUACCUUUACCUUUACCUUUAAUAUGAGGUAGCCAAGAGUUUCCCAUUUUUUUCUGACCCCCUGCUGCUUUGAGCAGUGGAAGGCAAUCUCUGCCCUGCUGGCCAUUGGAAUGCACUGGGAAUCUCUUCGCAGCUGAAAUGCAUUGGAAACCACACUACAUUACCUUGUGUUCUCAAGACAGUCCAGGAAGUGUGGUUGGUGGGAAGGAGCACAAGGUUCUCUCUGCAGUUUCCCACCAUCCACGCUUACUGGUGAGACCCAAUGAGAUAAGUGGCGACCUCCUUUGGAAGACUGGAUAAAUUCCAAGCAAAACAGCAGAAAAUUGGUUGCCGAUUUCCCAGGGGGUAAUAUUGUCAGAAAACAGGAGGGAGUGGGAAAUGUUAGUCUCCUGGAUGGGUUCUUCUCUUUCCCUCUGCAUUUCAAGAAGCCUCUCCUAAGGGGCUGAAGACAAAGUUGACUGUGUGGCAUCUAGAAGAGGGAAUGUUUGUAAGCGCUGAGUUCACCUUGACUGUCCAUGAUGUGGACUUUUCUUUGCCCAUCACUAGAGAAACAGCAUAGAACUGCUCACCACCACUGUCUGUGGUCAGCAGAAGCUGCAGAGACGCCAUCAACCAACUUGUCCACAACCCUUGAAAAUGUAUGUUGGGUAAAGGUAAAGGGACCCCUGACCAUUAGGUACAGUCGUGACCGACUCUGGGGUUGUGGUGCUCAUCUCGCUUUAUUGGCCAAGGGAGCCGGCACACAGCUUCUGGGUCAUGUGGCCAGCAUGACUAAGCUGCUUCUGGUGAACCAGAGUAGCUCACGGAAAUGCCGUUUACCUUCCUGCCAGAGCAGUACCUAUUUAUCUACUUGCACUUUGAUGUGCUUUCAAACUGCUAGGUUGGCAGGAGCAGGGACCGAGUUACGGGAGCUCGCCCCGUCGCGGGGGUUCGAUCUGCCGACCUUCUGAUCGGCAAGUCCUAGGCUCUGUGGUUUAACCCACAGCACCACCCGCGUCCUAUAUGUUGGGAGACAAGUCUUAUUUUAUAAACAUUUGAAAAAGGCAAAUAUGGUUAGACCUCCAGUGAUUUUUAAAGGCAACAUGACCUAUGGACACUAUAGGGGGUGGAAAAGAGAUCAGUGGCAGAUCUGCACAUGAUUUGCUGGUUGAGAGUCAUAUGUUCAAACUCUAGUAUUUCCAAUUUUGAGAAAGGCUCUGGUAGCCAGUGACGAGACAGAGAAAGACCUCUGCCUCAGACCUUGGAGAGCUACCAUCUGUCAAAGUGGGCUAGGCUAGAUGGAUAAAUAGUCUGACCUGGUAUAUGGCAGCUUCUUACUUCAGUCCUUGGGUUCUUCCAUGCUGCUUUCGUUGGAUGCUUAGGGAUUUUGUUGGUGUACUUGUCACUAGGUAUGGGCAAAUCUGUCAGUUUUAGCUUCUGUGCCUCUCUUUAUUCUCCCCCCCCCCCACAACACAAUCUUAAAUUCAGUUUGGUACAUACCCAUAUAAGUUUGGAAUAUAUUUUCUUAAAAGAAGUCAUACAAAUUCAGCAGCACUUUUUACUAUGCAAUCCCCCUAAUACAGUGGUACCUUGGGUUAAGAACUUAAUUCAUUCUGGAGGUCCGUUCUUAACCUGAAACUGUUCUUAACCUGAGGUACCACUUUAGCUAAUGGGGCCUCCCCCUGCUGCCGCCGCACAAUUUCUGUUCUCAUCCUGAAGCAAAGUUCUUAACCCGAGGUACUAUUUCUGGGUUAGCAGAGUCUGUAACCUGAAGCAUCUGUAACCCGAGGUACCACUGUAUAAUGCAAUUCUGUAUGUUGUUUCCCCUAAUGUAAUGCAGUUCUUUGUGCUAUUUUCUCCAAUAUAUGCACUUUUAUGCACACAUAUCUGCAUUUUUAUACACUUGGAGAACUGCAUUGUGGAAUUCUGAAAGGUGUGAAUUUAGAAGGUAGCAGUAUGCAUAUUUUUCCUAAAUCAAAUUUCUCUUGUCAUAGCUGCAUGCCCAUCAUGUUUUCUCUCUGAGUUGCUUGCAAAGGUUAUAUCGAUGUUUGUUUUAGCUGCAUUGAUACCCCACCUUUCUGCCAGGUGCUCCAAGUGGUGUAUUUUGGUAUCCAGGUGCUUUCUGAUACUCUCACUUGCUUAGCUUCAACCAGGUGGUUCCAUUCUGUGCAAUCUUCAGACUUCUCCUUCCAGGGGCCAGUGAGGUUGCAUGGCCUCAUGGCCUAUUUUAUUUAGCAGUAAGGAAGAGAGAGGGCAGGGCAGCAGCUGUCUGCAUCCUACGCUAUGACUGUACUUGGAACAGUAAGGGCAUUGAUACUUGUGAGUUGACAGAGUUCACUCCUAGGCUUACAAAUUGCCACUCCUCUGGUUGCCUGGGCAAGUGAGGUUUGCCCCCAGGUGCCCAAAGAUUGGGGACACUUUAGGAUUAGAGAUUGAGGCUUUAUUUUUUAAAGAGCACUAUUGGUGUAGAUUUGUGUUGGGCUAGUAGCAUGCAUGGCGAGACACUCUCUCUUCAAAGAAAAGUCACCACAAAAAUAUCCUAUCCUUCCUCCAUCAUUCUUAGGUAUUGAUAUACUUCUUUUGGUACCUGAAAUGAAAAUUUGAACUCCCGCUGCUCUGCACUUUGUUAAUGAUAAGAGUUGGAGUUAGAAAAUAUCAUGCCCUCUGUAAUAAGCUAUCUAUAGCAAUUGCUUCAGGUUAAAGGCUGCUGGUGGUGGGUGGCGCUGUGGUCUAAACCACAGAGCCUAAGGCUUGUCGAUCAGAAGGUCGGCAGUUCGAAUCCCCGCGACGGGGUGAGCUCCCGUUGCUCGGUCCCUGCUCCUGCCCACCUAGCAGUUCAAAAGCAUGUCAAAGUGCAAGUAGAUAAAUAGGUACCCCUCCAGCGGGAAGGUAAACAGCGUUUCCAUGCGCUGCUCUGGUUUUGCCAGAAGUGGCUUAGUCAUGCUGGCCACAUGACCCAGAAGCUGUACGUCGGCUCCAUCGGCCAGUAAAGCGAGAUGAGUGCCGCAACCCCAGAGUCAUCCGCAACUGGACCUAAUGGUCAGGGGUCCCUUUACCUUUACUAAAGGCUGCUUGGCUUCUUCAAUCCCCCCCCCAGCAUGCAUAUUUGUGGCGGACUUUUGCCUUCUUCUGUCUCCAGCCUGAGACAUGGAUCGAUCUAGAGAUGCUUUGCUAAACUUGUUUUGCCUUCAAUUAUUGAGUGUUGGAUUCCUUGCUCCUUGUUGCUUGGGUGUGAUUAUUUCUUGGACUACUCGCCGCUAUUGCAAGAGCCACUAGGAGUGAUAAAAAGCUACAGUGGUGGGGCAUGGUAGGAAUGUGACAAGUGCCAGCCAGAAGUGUGCAGUCACUGCAAGAUUUGAUUUGCCUCUGUAGCCUUUGGAAGCAGCCCGAUCUGUUUUGGAUCCACUUGGUGUCGUUCCAGUUCAAUUCUUUACUUCGGUCCUCAUCUGGUCUGCUAAAUCCAAGCUCUGUUUCAUGUCCACUAUGAGUAUAAUGUGGAAUCUAAGUGUGGAUAUAGCUUGCUUUCCUUUUCCCAUUUGAAACUUGUAGGCAAGGCAGCACAAGGGAAACCCCACAUAGAGCACAUUUUUUCAUUCAAACUUGACCACUGCUUUGAUAAGCUUGUGACAAGCACUAUAUAAAUACUGCAAAAAAGCAACGAACAGGAAGAAAGAAACCCAUUUUGUUGCCAGGGUUGCAAUAUCCAAAUGAUGGCGUUAACCCACAAAGUGAAAAAAAACAACCCCAGAAAACAACCUUGGCAAAUCUGCUGUCUUUGUGCCUGAAUUCUGCUGCUGGAUGCGGCCACCACAUUUGAUCACCACAGAAGAUCCAUCCAUGCACCUUCUAAAACUGUAUGGGAAAAAAUGACAUACCUGCCCUUCAGAGGAGCACACCUGAAAAAUGAUCCUAAAAGCUUGAAAAUAAUAAUUGUGCAGUCAAAGUCCCUUACUGCCCUACACAAGCUUGUAAUUUUGCACAGGGUGCCACAUUUGCCAUCUUGGGGUAAGGAGAGAUGCCCUUUCCAGGAUACUCCAUUUCUGUUUCCCCUCCCUGCAGUGGACACAUGGUGUUAGUCACAAGCUGUUUUUAGGAUCUCCCCACCCCCUGUUUUGUUUUUAAUUUCUUUUGGAGGGGUUACUUUUGCAAAUCUUGGGAUUCGUUCAGAUCUUCUGACACUCCCCUCUUGUGCCAUUUUUGGCUACAGAAGGGUCAGUGUUUGGAGACUUGAGUUUGCUAUUGGGACCUAUGCAUUAAGGACGCUGUAGCCCUCAUACAAUGGCAACCACUUCCGGAGGGUCCCACGACCACAUUUUAGCAUUUUAAAAUCACGACUAAGCGCUGAAGCUGUUUUAAGCCGCUUAAGCCAACCUUAAACCCCCAGAUCAGCUAAACAGCUUGUACCAAUAAAAUGGCUUAGAGUUUCCUAAGCACCUUAAACAGAUCUAAAGCUUUAGUAUAAGACUGUGACCAAACUAGAGCAUGGUGUUUAGUUUCUCAGUGACACCAGAGGGCCUUACCCAGCUAAGCCAACUAAUUACAGAACUGAGACCCUCUCCACUGGGUUUUUAAAGGCCAGAUGCUUAAUCAACCAAAGGGAUGCAAAUACACAUUGCAAGUCUAUAUACGUGCUUAACCCAGCCCCAUAUUUAACUGCAGAAGUAGCUGAAUGUUGCAUAGGGUUACAAAUUCUCUAGGAGCGCACUGUUGGCCACUGUGAGAACUAGAUUCGGUGACUAGAUAGGCCUUUGGUCUGAUUCAGCAGUGCUCUUCUUAUGUCAUGUUCUUAAUAGUCCCUGGCAAAGACUUGGGCUCUGAAGCUCAAGCUUUCUGCUUCCAACAGCAGCCAGUCAAGUGCCUAUGGGAAUUCACAAUGCAGACUUUGAGCCAAUGCCUACUUCCUGGCCUUUGUCCUUUUCACCUGGUAUUUGGAGAUAGACUCCCUGUGAAUAUGGAGGCUCUAUAUAAACUCUUGAGGCGGAUAGUCUUUUUGAGAGACCUGUCCUCCACGAAUCUGUCCGGUCCUUUAAAAAAGCCAUCUAACGUAAUGCCAUCGCUGUAAGUUAAUUAUUCACUGUCUGAAGUAGUGCUCUUUUGUCAAUCCUGAAUGUGUUGUCAAUUAACUUAAUUGAGUGACUGAGAGCUGUGGUGUGAUGAGAGAGGGAGGAAAAUUUCUCUAUGUGCUGUCUGAGGGCUAGCCAUAGCCUUAAAAACCUACAUAAUACCUCAGUUUUGUUUUCCUCCCUGUUGUAUCUGUACAUUAUUGUUAUGAUUAAUUAUUAUUUGGCGUUGUUUGGCCAAAAGGACCCCAAAGCUGUGAAAAUAUAUAUUAAAUUACACGCAGCAGUUCUCAACCUGUGGGUCUCCAGAUGUUGUUGGACUACAACUCCCAUCAUCGCUGAGCUCUGGCCUUGCUAGCUAGGGGUGAUGGGAGUUGUAGUUCAACAACAUCUGGGGACCCACAGGUUGAGAAAGGUUGAAUUGCAGUAAAAGCAUGAUAUUAUAAAUAUAUCUAUGCAUUACAUUUAUAUUCCCCCUUUUCCUUCAAGUUGGGGAGUUUCUCCCCCUUUCCAUUUUAACCUUACAACAACCCUGUGAGGUAGAUGGCGACUGGCCCAAGGUCACCCAGUGAGUGUUUAUAGCUGAGUGGGGAUUUGAACUGUUGUCUGCUAGGUCCUAGUCCAGCACUCUUAACUAUCAAACUACCCUGACUCUUUCUUUCACUUUAAACAGUAAUAAUGCAGUAGAUCAACCAUUAAUCAAACACACGAAUGUAAGGUGACACUAUCAGGAGAUAAGAAUAAAAUACACUCCCCCGAUGCAUCAGAAAGUGAGGAGGGACUAAAAAACUCCCCCACACCAUAGCCUUUGCAGUGUCAUCAGAUAUGUAUCUACUUAGUCCCAUUGAGUUCAUUGCAGGAGGGCUGCAGGUUAGUGGUAGAUCACAUGUUUUGCAUGCAAAAGGUCUCAAGACUCAAACCCUGGAGUAGGGGAUUCCCGGGAAUAUCCCCUGCCCAAAAUCUUGAGGAGUUGCUGUCGAUCAUUGUCAACAAUAUUGACGACUGGGGAUGGGGGGCGGGAAGAGACAUUUGAUUCUGUUCAUGCUGAAAGGCAAAUAUAUCAAAGCUGCACUUUUCAAAACAGUAGGAGAACUGAAACACAGCUGUCCUUCAAAAUUUGCACUGUUACGAAUUUUGCGAUGCAGCUCUGGAGCCGAACAGUCCUUACAGAAAUGCAUCUGCUAGGUAAAAGGUAGGGGGGGAAAUGAAAGUUUAGUGAAAAUGGCUUACAGAAAUGCAGGGUAUUAGGGGAAAUUGCUUGUAAAAAUGUAUGCACACACAAAAAGGGGUUAUUAGAAAAAAAUUGUGCUAAAAUACCGAAGAAACUUCAUUAGGGUUUUCUUUGGGGGGAGCGAAAAUCACAAAUUGCUGCAGAAAUGUGGAGAAUGGAAUUUAAGAUGGGGGGUGGAAAUAGAAAUUGAGAGAACCAGAAUUCACAGAGCCUUACACUCCUACUGAAGAUUAGAUUGACCAGUGGUUUGACUUGGUAUCCGGCACCUUCAUAUACAAUGAACGCUUGGGUUUGCGAACAUGAUCUGUGCGAGAGGCACGUUCACAACCCGCAGCGUCUGCAACCCACAGUAACGCGUCUGCGCAUGCGUGGGUUGCGAUUCAGUGCUUCUGUGCAUGCGCGAGCGCCAAAACCUGGAAGUAACCCGUUGUGGUACUCCCGGGUUUUGGCGUGCCUGUAACUCAAAAACACGCAACCUGAAGCGUCUGUAACCCGAGGUAUGACUGUAUUCUAGUAAGCCCAAAUCCCAGAAAAGUAUGUGUGGGAUUGUGACCAGAGUUGGCCCUGGGUGAAAUAGCGCUCUGGACUGGGAGUGCCUUUGGCACUCAUCACCCCCCACCUCACCCCGGUCACUUUUGCAGUAUUCCCAAGUUGUGUGACUUCUGCAGAUUGCGAAACCUAGCAGUGUGAAAGAGAGGCCCUACUGGUCUCACGAGAUGCCCUGCAAUACAUAGAUGAUGCCAAUUUGGAAAGACGCUGUUCAUCUGGGCAGCACUACGAACUCUCCUGACAUUUCCAGAUACAGUUGUCAGUGGUGAGGGUGCUUCCUCAAACUUGAAGCUCAUCAAAAUGUACUGGUUAUCUGUUAUGGCGGGCGAGAGGCUCGCAUCACAAGAUAGCCAAUCCAUUCUGACUGACAGCUCCUGAAACCUGUUUUUCUCAGCCACUCAGCUGCAGUUUGCACACACCAAAGCCUUACAAGUUCACUUUCUGCAUGGGGUUAUUGCACUAGGGCAGUGGUGGGGGAAAGCUUUGGCAUGCUAGAUGCUGCUGAACUAAAACUCCCAUCGGCCCCGGCAAGCAUGGUCAAUGUUCAGGGAUGACUGGAGUUGUAGUUUAUCAACAUCUGGAGGGUCAAAGGGUCUCCACAUCUGCACUAAGCAAGACGAUGGAACGAUUGCAGGUUUUACUUUUGCUUAGUUUUGUAGCAAUCACUUUUUGGAAGCAUUCUUUAUUUCAGGAAAUCCAUCACCCAAGAUAGCAACAUUUUCAUCUACAAUUUAUUUUAACGUUAUCCCAUGUUCAUGCCUUCCCUGCUGAGUUAUAUGGAAGUGUUAGUUAGCUGCUGUUUAUCAUUUUAGACAAGGUAGAUUGACAGCCUUGACAAAGUUUGUUUUUUGCAAUGAAACAGUUUUAUUUUUUAUUAGAACUAAAGACAACAUUCCCCAUCACUUCAGCAGGGUAUUUUGGAUUUGUUACAUUAUUUAUCUUCAUAAUGUGGACAAGGUGGCUGCAUUUUUAUCUUUGAAAAUAAUAAAUAAAUGUUAUAAAGGAAAUAAUUUUGAAAUUGGUCUCUUAGAGCUCUCUCUCUCUCUCAUUAUUGCUGCUUGGUCAUGUCAACUCAGUCAACCCAUGUUCCGCUAAUUUUUAACAAAAACGAAACAGAAAUGUUCUAUUAAAUAUAUACAGUGUGUGUGUGUGUGUGUGUGUGUGUGUGUGAGAGAGAGAGAGAGAGAGAGAGAGAGAGAGAGUAUAUACACUAUAUAUAUAUAGGUCAAACUUAUGGAGGGUGUCUUAGGGACUGUAGGAUGCUGUGGAUCUCUGGGGCAAAGAGGGAAGUCUCUUCUUGGAUGCUUUUCUAUAUUUCUGGCAGAGAGCUCUGCCACUGUUGACCUUUGGCCAUCUUUAUUUCUGGGGAUGUAGCAGGGGAACAUUUAGAGCCAUGCAGUGCAAGACAGUUACCUUUUCUGGAUUUCCUCCUGCACCAUUGCAGAUGAUCAGCCCUGCAACUGGUUUACUGAUUUCCCCUUCCACUAGAACAAAUGGAAGAGAGAAAAUACUGCCCAAGAAAGCAGAAAAGGUUAAAAAGCCACCCCACCUCCCUCGUUGGUGAUCACCUGUCCAGGAUUUGGACUUUGUGGUUCUUUCCUUGUCUUGUUGAAGUUCAUAUUGGAGAUUAGUAUCCAGACAACUUGCAGAUGAGGAGUGGAGAUGUUGGAUUAUCGUCCCUGACCAUCGGCUAUGUUGACCAGGUGGAGGGCUACAGUUUUCCCACCCCCGCUGUAGAGGUUUUUUGUGUGUGUGUUUUGGUUUUGAAUACCCUUCUUUCUUCACUCUGUCUCUUUGCAAAAAGUACACUCAACCAGCAACGAGCUCAGCUUGCCACCUCUGCCAGUUUGGUACCGAGGGUGAGCGGCCAGCCCUGAUUGGCGCUUUAGAGUUGAUGGAUUGGAAAGUGGUCUAAUCCUCUGAUCAUUCUUUUAAAAGUUGCUUUAAUAAUUUAAUAAUAAUAAUUUAUUAUUUAUACCCUGCCCAUCUGGCUGGGUUUCCCCAGCCAUUCUGGGUGGCUCCCAACAGAAUAUUAAAAACAUGAUAAAAGAUCUGACAUAAAAAAAUUCCCUAAACAGGGCUGCUUUCAGAUGUCUUCUAAAAGUCAGAUAGUUGUUUAUUUCCUUGACAUCUGAUGGGAGGGCGCCACUACCAAGAAGGCCCUCUGCCUGGUUCCCUGUAACCUCACUUCUCCCUUUUGUUUACCUCCUUCAGCUAUGCAAUACUGUUUUUGAGAUGGGGUAACCGGAACCGAACGCAGCAUUCUAAAUUUGGCUGGACACGAAUUUAUAUAAUGGCAACAUACUUGCUGUAUUUCACUGCAAGAAGAGGCAGCGUAAUAAACGCUUUCUUGAAAUGAGCUAAAAAGGGCAUCUCUUCCAUGCAAGUCACAGUGAAGAAAGGAUAGUUGGAUAGAAAUUCAUUAUGCUGUAUUAUUGGUCAGCUAUGACUGGCAGUGCUAGAAGAUGCAGUAUUAGUGCAUGCCAAUAGCAGAUGUUGGGGAAAAAAGGUUCUCCCUACCUCAGGUUAAGUAUUUCUCAAUCUGUAAAAUGAAAAGAGAUGUAUUGCAAUCAGAAUGGUUGGACACUGAUGUCUGGGAAAUGUACCUGAACUGAUUUUUAUUUUUAAAAUAUAGAAGAACUGAAUGUGAAGCCAGGUGUUUAAUAGUUGGACCUUGCAUGGGGAUCUCAGGGCCAAUAUGACGCUGUGUGUGUGUGUGUGUGUGUGUGUGUGUGUGUGUGUUUUAAACCCACCUCCUAGCAUUCAAGCCAUCUGUUUUCCAUGUUUAAAAUCCAACAGAUGGAGAGUGCUGCUAGAGAUGGAUGGAUCUGUCAAUUUCAGUCCUCUCAGUUUAUGAUUCCCCCCCAGUCUUACAUUCAGCUCUCCACAUUUCCACAGCAACUUGUGAUUAUUAUUAUUUUUUAAAAAUACCCCCAAUCCUCUAGUGCUUUAGUGUAGAUUAUUCCUAAAAUCACAUUUUUGUAUACACUUGCACAUUUUCGCAACAAACAAGAAAGCAUUUUGGUACGUUGUUCUUACACAUAUAUUCAUUUUUAUGCACACUUUUACCUAAUGUGUGCAUAUAUGUAAAGAUUUUUGGGUUUGAGAAGUGCAUCACAAAUUUCUGGGUAUGUGCAGUUUCGAAGGCUUGCUGUUCUCAUUGCAUUUUGCAAAAGUGGAAAUCUGAUAGAUUCAGUUUUAAAUAUAAACUGAAUUGAAUUUCUCUCCUAUUCCCCAUGCCCAGCCAUACUUGCUGCUGUUCCAAAUGGGCCUGUCCUCUCUUCUUAGCUCUGUAGGCAUACAUCCAUGCCUUAUAUAAAACAAAAUCCACCUAACAAUAGCAUAAUGCCUAGUAUUUUAGUAUACAGUGGUACCUCGGUUUACGAACUUAUUCCGUUCCAGAAGUCCGUUCUUAAACCGAAACUGUUCUUAAACCAAGGCACGCUUUCCCUAAUGAGGCCUCCCACCGCUGGUGCCCUUCUACCAUUCGGAUUGCGUUCUUCUUCUUCUUGUUUAGUCGUUUAGUUGUGUCCGACUCUUUGUGACCCCAUGGACCAGAGCACGCCAGGGACUCCUGUCUUCCACUGCCUCCCGCAGUUUGGUCAAACUCAUGCUGGUAGCUUCGAGAACACUGUCCAACCAUCUCGUCCUCUGUUGUCCCCUUCUCCUUGUGCCCUCCAUCUUUCCCAACAUCAGGGUCUUUUCCAGGGAGUCUUCUCUUCUCAUGAGGUGGCCAAAAUAUUGGAGUCUCAGCUUCAGGAUCUGUCCUUCCAGUGAGCCCUCAGGGCUGAUUUCUUUAAGAAUGGAUAGGUUUGAUCUUCUUGCAGUCCAUGGGACUCUCAAGAGUCUCCUCCAGCACCAUAAUUCAAAAGCAUCAAUUCUUCGGCGAUCAGCCUUCUUUAUGGUCCAGCUCUCACUUCCAUACAUCACUACUGGGAAAACCAUAGCUUUAACUAUACGAACCUUUGUUGGCAAGGUGCUCGAGGUAAAGUUUGCAAACCGGGACAAUUCUUCCGGUUUUGCGGAGUUCGUAAACCGAAACAGGACUGUUCUUAAACCGAGGUACCACUGUAUAGCUGUCUUACGUUUCCAUUAGCCAGCCCCGGCAGUCUACAAAAUUCCCUUUGGACAGCAGUUACUACAAUCCAUUAUAAAAGCAUAGCAAAUAAGGAUUUUCCCAUGGAAGAGGAUUCCUGAUGAGAACUUGUGAGACCCUGGAUGCAGUCCCCACUUUGGCUACUGCCAGUUAAAGCUCUUUGACGGUCCAUGCAGAAGGCUGUGAUCCAGGGUUUUUUUACAGCAUUUAAGCACAGUUUCAUUAUUCGGAAAUCCGAUCCCUUGAUUUCAAAGCAUAAAAGAAACAGAGAUUCCUUAAAAAGCUGUUUACCCUGAGGGUCCAUACUUUUUUGGGGGUCUGAAGAGUCCCAAGUCCAUUUACAAAUCUGGAGGAAGGCAUGAGUCCAGCUUCCUUUGGCUCCAAGCACAUGUUUCCAGUUAGGUGGUAGAAACAAAACAAGACAAAAAGCAGCAAACAAGAAUGGGCCAAUCCAAGAUCUUUCAUACCUCCAAAAAGAGAUUCAGGCAGAAAAACGAAAAUAUAAAAAUAAAAAAUAGAGCCCUAUACAAUAUCAUCACCACUUACCUGUCUUUCACUCUCAGGUUCCAGGGCAGGUUACAACAGUUGAAACACAGUGUUGAAAACAGUUUAAAAUAGGCUGCAGCCAAAGAAAUAAGGUGGGACCUAAAACAUGGGUUGCUUCUGAUGCUUCAUGAAUAGGGCUGCUGAUGGAUGGGAUAGCUGAUGGAUUAGCUGAUGGAACAGAUAGAUAAACUGUUGAAAAACAGUUUAUUUUGACUACUUAAACUUAAAUAACACGCGGUUUGUUGUUAUCUUUUAAGAAUUCCUGUUAAUACUGGUGCCUUAUUUGAAGGUGACAAGCAUCCACUUACAAGAGACAGUUUGUACUGUCUGUGAUGGAUAGAAAUUGGAAGGGUUACAUCUAUCUAUCUAUCUAUCUAUCUAUCCAUCUAUCAUCUAUGAACUGUUAAUUUUUCUGAUUCGGAAAUUUAUGUGGAUUCCAUUGAGUAAAAGCCACACAACUGAUUGUCUACUGCUGCAAUCCCAUUUACAGUGGUACCUCGGGUUAAGUACUUAAUUUGUUUCGGAGGUCCGUUCUUAACCUGAAACUGUUCUUAACCUGAAGCACCACUUUAGCUAAUGGGGCCUCCUGCUGCCGCCGCACCGCCGGAACACAAUUUCUGGUCUCAUCCUGAAACAAAGUUCUUAACCUGAAGCACUAUUUCUGGGUUAGCGGAGUCUGUAACCUGAAGCAUAUGUAACCUGAAGUGUAUGUAACCUGAGGUACCACUGUACCUGGGAGGAAGCCCCACUGAAUUCAACAGGGCUCACUUCUGAUUAGACAUCAUUAGGAUUGUGCUGCAAAAUUUAUUUUAAGCAAGUGAGCUUUGGAUACCACAUGGCAUUUUCUUUAAAGAACUAUUUUUCUUUAAAAAGUAAUAAUACAAUAGGCAGGUAUCUAUCUUUCCCCCUUUCAUAUUUACUGGUAAUUGCACAAGUAUUGGGAGGGGGGAAUUCCCACAGAAAACCACUGGAUAUUUGGGCCGUAAAACUGAAGCACAUAAGUACUAUUAAAAAUCCCAGCUGUUGGAAGUUUCCAUUUUGGCUUUCUUACCUCUGAAAGAAAUUGGUCCCUCUUGUCUGUGGUACUCCAAGAAAGACUGGCAAUGAUUUAUUACCUAGAGUUUUCCAUUCCUUUUCAGUUCUGGUGUGUAAUCUCUCAUGCUUUAAUUGUAAGCAUGUUUACUUGGAAUUGGGUCCUAUUAACUCAGCAGAAUUUUAUUCCAAGUAAGAUCUUGGCUGCAGAUUGAGAGAUUUGUGUUGACGUGCACCUCCUGUUUCCUUUGUUGCUGUCUUGUCUAGUGUGCACAUUACAGUCACAAUAACAAGAGUAAGAGCCUGCUGGAUUGGACCAAUGGCCCAUCUAGUCCAGCAUCCUAUUCUCCCAGUUGGCCAACCAGAUAUGUAUAGGAAGAGCUAAAGCAUGAUCUACAUGAUCUACUCAUUUGUGAUUCCCAGCAAAUCAUGACUUCGAAUGAGCGUGUGGGUUCCUGGAGAGGAGAUUGUCGCUGUUGCACUCCUCUGAUCUUCCUGCAGCUGUGACAUUGGGCUCAUGGUCUUUCUCGCUCUAGACAAACCACAAGUUGUAAGUAAGCUCUUUGUUCUUGGAAUUGCUACUUGUGGUUUGUCUGGAGCAUCACAAUUCUAGGUUUUGAUGAAAUGAUAAACUAAACCAUGGUGUGAUGGCCUAGGACUUGGGCUCGGACUUGGAGCCAGAGGAGUCUCAGUCCGCACCAGAUCCUCUGCCUCAGACGGCAUCUGAACCUAGUCUGGGGCCUGAUUCUGAAGAGCCCCAGUCUGCACAGGUUCCCCUGCAGCAAGCACCAACUGGGCCGAGUCAGGGGCCUGAGCCUGCCCUGGCUCCAGAUGCGGGGAUUACCUCGUUGCCCUCUGCUGCUCCACUACCAGUUGGGUCAGGAGAGGCUGAGGCGGCCUCUGGGUCUAGUAACCCACUGACAUCUCCCGAGUUGCAGAGACUCAGGUCUGAGAGAAGGAGAGACCUGAGUACUCGCAGGAGGAGUGCUCGCCUUUGGGCGAGACAGGGAAGUGAGUCACUGGGGGAUCAGGACUGGCCGUUAUCCCAACAGAGAUAAAAGGCUGCCGGACCCCGCCCCAGGUUGCGAAAGCAACAUUGCUGCUUGCUGGAACCUGCCUGAAACCUUGUGCCUGACCUAGCCUUGUUUCCUGCCUUGGCCCUGUUGGACUGACUCCUCGUGGAAUCCUUGGAUUCGGGACCAGACCUGGACCGCGUGGCUCGGGUUAGCCCCCCGUGCCCAGGACACAUGGCUUGCCUCACAGCAAUGUAGCUGCAGUAGGAUGAGAAGAGGAGCAAAGCAGCUGUGAUCUCCUUCCUGGGAACUUGCAUGUUCCUGCUAAGCCAUGGGCUGUGUGGUGGGGGUGGGGGAGGGAGGACAGGGAGAAACCAUCACUGCCACUAAGGUAGACACGAAGGUUGGACUAGAUGAAUUUUGGUGUCCCUUCCAACUCUCUGAUUCUAAUGCCUCCCUCCCACCUGAACUACUGAGUUGGUUUGGCCCCUCCACCUUUCCAGAUGGGGAGGGAAACCAAGCAGACUCUACACCAGUGUGGUGUAGUGGUUAAGAACAGUAGACUUGUAAUCUGGUGAACCGGGUUUGAUUCCCUGCUCCUUCACAUGCAGCUGCUGGGUGACCUUGGGCUAGUCACACUUCUCUGAAGUCUCUCAGCCUCACUCACCUCACAGAGUGUUUGUUGUGGGGGAGGAAGGGAAAGGAGAAUUUUAGCCACUUUGAGACUCCUCAGGGUAGUGAUAAAGCGGGAUAUCAAAUCCAAACUCCUCCUCCUCCUCCUCCUCCUCCUCCUCUUCUUCUUCUUCUUCUUCUUCUUCUUCUUCUUCUUCUUCUUCCCCAAUGCGACACCCCUUCAGUUUCCGGCUUGCAAAUUAGACUGCUCAACUUGGGGAUGGACAGUUUGAGACAUGUCUCUUAAAUAGAAACAUGAUUGUUCCCCGCCAUCUGCGACACACUGGAGGGCACGCUAGCCUAGGAAGGGGGAAAGCAAAGAAGGACGAUGCCAAAACCAAUGGCAGGAUCUUUCAGCCCCAUCUCCUGCUUUGUAAGCUCCCUGUUAUAUUUAUUGUGGAGGUGAGGGCGGUGCAGCCUGUUUACCCUUGUGCGCAAGCAUUUAAUGUCCACGCUACAGAGAUUUCUGUGGUCCUCCGGUGUGAAUGCAGAAUUGUUUUUGUCGAGUCCUCUUCUCCUGCGUGGAGGUGGCAGAUGAGGGGGGCGGCAGUGGAAGUGAACAACAUGUUGCCUGAAUGGCAUGUGUCCUGGGGGAGCCGUCCGAUGUGGUUGACUCAAGCCUAGCUUCCUUUGCAUCAGACUGAAGGUCCAGACCCCUGGUUCAAAGCAAAUAAAUUUACCUUUCUGUUGGAAGGCUGGCUCCAAGGAGGCUUGGAUUAACUUUACUAGCAGUGUCAACACGCUGCAGCUGAGUAAAUCAUAGCUCAACAAGAACAGCAUCUUCAUUUUCAAAAUUAGCUCUAUUACCAUUUUGAGUGGGGAGAAAUAAUUUAGGGGGUUUGUUGGACCAGGAUAAGAAGUGUGCUUUGAUCCUCUUCUACAGAUGUAGAGCGGCAUUACAGUGUUCUGAACGAAACUGGCUUAUACUGAUUCACUGCCCAUUUGAAAGGAGUGAAUUAUGGGGAGCAAUUUUGGUGGGGUGUUUUUGUGUGUGUGUGAUUUUCUAAAGGAUUCACGAGGUGGGCAGGUUUACCAUUGUUGGCAAUACUGGCAUGGUCUCUUUCUCUCUAAUUCUAAAGCUGCAACAUGAUCGCAGAUACUCCAUGUUAUGCUGCUUCAUGGCGAAAGCGUUGUCUGCUUGCAGAUGAAGGUGGGGUAUUAAAGGAAGGAGGGCUGAACUACAGAGAGGGCAAUGAAGUGUUCCAGAUAGUAUUUCUUAUAACAACAACAACAAUUUUAUUAUUUAUAUGCCGCCCAUCUGCUGGUUUGCUCCAGCCAAGCACCCACAGCUUCCCAGAGAUGGCGCCUAUGGUUCUAUUGAUUUUUAAAAGAUCUUAUUAUAGUUGGAUCAAAUGUGUGUCAGUGAAGGAUCACUGGCAUUUCCUGAAACGUAUGGCCAUUUCAGACUGUUUGUGUUUUGGGGUGGGAUUCGAUCAUUUGCUGAAAAUGUAGGUGGCGAUCAGGUGCAACAAACCUGCUUUCCCAAAAGAUAGAGUGGUUUUGCAACAAGGGAAGUGACGAGAAAAUGUGCUGGAAAGUUUGGGAUAAUACUUACCGGUACAUUGGCACAGUGUCAUCUAACCUCCCUGCAAAACAAAUCAGAAUGAAUGCAUUGAGCAGCCAACGUCGUUUAAUCUCCAAACAAAUCAGGAUGAAUACUGGAUUUAAAUAGCUUGUGUGAAAGCACUUAUAAUGCUUUCCUAAAAAAAAGAUCUACAGUGGCUCUCAGUACAUUUCCAAGCACAAGUCACAGUAUUUGUGCUGACCUUAAAAGCUUUGGCCCUGAAUACCUGAAGGAGCAUCUCCACCUCCAUCAUUCAGCCUGGACACUGAAGUCCAGCUCCAAGGGCCUUCUGGUGGUUCCCUCAUUGCAAGAAGUGAGUUUACAAGGAACCAGGCAGAGGGCCUUCUCGGUGGUGGCGCCCGCCCUGUGGAAUGCCCUCCCAUCAGAUGUCAAGGAAAUAAACAACUAUCUGAUUUUAGAGGACAUCUGAAAGCAGCCCUGUCAGGGAAGUUUUUAAUGUUUGAUGUCUUACUGUGUUUUAAUGUGUUGGAAGUUGCCCAGAGUGGCUGGGAUAACCCAGUCAGAUCAGAAUAAUAAUAAUAAUAAUAAUAAUAAUACAGUGGACCCUCGGGUCACAUUACCUUCAGGUAACGUAACUUUUGGGUUCCGAACGCAGCAAACCCGGAAAUGGUUUUGGCGCUCGCGCAUGCGCAGAAGCACUCUAUGGCGCUGCGUGCAUGUGCAGAACAGGCACCUCCGGUUACGAAAAUUUCGGGAGACUGCCGGGCCUCCAGAACAGAUCCCAUUCAUAACUGGAGGUACCACUGUAAUAAUAAUAAUAAUAAUAAUAAUAAUAAUAAUAGGUGUGUUUGUUUUGCUUUGCUUUCUGUCCAUUGCGUAGCUGGUAUGCUGUGCUGUGCUGGCCGCAUUGCAAAAAGUUACUUUUCAUUGCAUUUCAAUAAGUUCUGGUUGCUUCCCACGAGAGGCUGGUCCUCAGUGCUUUGCACAGUUCUUUGGUGCUUCUCUGCGCGAGUGUGACUCCUCUUGUCAAGCCUGUUUUUGCUGUCACUGUGGCUCGCCUGUUGCCAGGGCAGCGACGAGCUGCACAAUGACUUGGGGUGGUGGAAGGUCUGCAUUCGAGAACUCACUUUGAUCGGCGGGCCGUGAGCCAGGAAGGGAUUUAGGUGAGCCACGGGCUGGCUCCCUUGUGUUGGGGGAGCAGCGUGACCCCGCACACAGAGCAGGCAUCUAGCCUGGCUGGCUGGCUGGCCGGUUCCCUGCUCUUGGCAUCCUCAGCGUUACAGAGUCCUGCUCAGUGAUCCCUGCGUGAUACUGAGCUCUGCCCCUCUGGUUAGUGGAAGGAGUGUUGGUAACAGUAGUUGGCGGCUGGAGGGGGAGAGGCAAGUGGUGGCAGAUGUUGCUAAUGCCAAAAGCUUCACAAACAGGAUUAGGCAAGCCGGGGCUAUAACUACUCCAGCUGUGCACAGCUGUAGCUGAGCUUUCACAACAAGCUGCUCCCCCCCUUUUUUUGAAUUGGGAACUAAUUUGGCAAAGGGUUCUUUUCCCUGCUGUGAAUUUUAAGUUGCCUGUAAGGCUGUGGAGGGAAUGCCGGAAAGGCAGCCAUGCCUUGUGCUUUGUGGAAGCUUGCAAUCCACUUUCUUUUUUUUAAAGGCAGCGCUUUGCAAGAUGGGCAUUCUCUGUUUCUCCAUGUUUGCUUUGGGAGGGGGAAUUAUUGUCUUCCUGUUUUACCCUUUUCCCUUAUUUAAAGGGCAAGGCGUGAACUGCCCAGGAUACUGAGCAUUCCAAGUUUGUUCAUGUCAUUGUAGUUUUUGCUGUGUGUGCGCAAAUUAACUUCUGCGUCUGCUACCUUCUCUUACUUUUAUAUGGUCAAAAUUUUGUUUUGUAGUUGUCCAAGGACUAGAAGCAAUUAAAUGAGUCUGAUCUGAUCUCUUUUACACAGUAGGACAAAAAGGCAUAUAUUUCUCUCUCUCUCUCUAUAUAUAUAUCUAUAUCUAUAUAUAUACUGUUGCUUUUAUUUGUAUUUCAUUUAAAUAUUUCUAGCUGACCAGCUUUUAGGGCAAAGGAUCCACAAACUGACUUUUGUAAAACACAAUAUAGUAUUUAUUUAUUUCGUAAGUUUUAUACGCUGCUUGAUUGUAAAAUAAAUAAACUCCUGAAGCGGUUUACCAAAAACAAAAAACAGACAAACAAACAAUAAAAUGACAUUUGAAAAGAAAUAAUCUUAAACAUUCAUAAAUUAAAACCAGCAGAACCGGAGUGGGUGGGGCAACGCAGUCAGUUGGGUGACAUAUUAAUAAUAAUAAUAAUAAUAAUAAUAAUAAUAAUAAUAAUAGAUUAAAGCACACAUCAGCAUUCUAGAUAUUGGAGUAGGCUUAUCUAAACAUAAAUGUUUUUAGCAGACACUGAAAGAAAGUACCGUGAAGGCACCUGCUUGAUUCUAAUCUUCAGGGAGUUCCAAAAUGUAGGUGCUCCUACACUAAUAUGUUGUUUCAAGAAAAUGCAGCCCUUUAAGAAGCAGCUGAAAGCGAUUCACAAACCAGUAGCACACCACCAUAUGUUUAUGAAAACAAUCUGAAUCCAACACAGCACUAUUAUUCUUCCUGGGAGUUGCAGUCCAAUAUAUCUGGUGGGUACCAGGUUGAGGAAGAAUGCUUUAGCUUGUCCCCAUUGUGGCCAAUUUUUUCCACUUCUGCUCCAUGAAUUUUAUCAGUUUCCCCUGCCUUUUUAGAGAUGUCUAAACUGGUGACCAUCAUAGAAUCAUGGAAGUGGGAAGGGACCCCAGGGGUCAUCUAGUCCAACCCCCUACAAUGCAGGAUUCUCAACUAAAGCAUCCAUGACAGAUGGCCACCCAGCCUCUCCUUAAAAACAUCCAGGGAGUCUGCCACCUUCUGAGGGUGUCUGUUCCACUGUCAAACAGCUCUUACUCUUGCUGUCAUCACAUUAAAAAGGUAAAGGUAAAGGACCCCUGACAGUUAAGUCCAGUCGUGGCCAACUCUGGGGUUGUGGCGCUCAUCUCGCUUUAUUGGCCGAGGGAGCCGGCGUACAGCUUCCGGGUCAUGUGGCCAGCAUGACUAAGCCGCUUCUGGCGAACCAGAGCAGCGCACGGAAACGCCGUUUACCUUCCCGCCGGAGCGGUACCUAUUUAUCUACUUGCACUUUGAUGGGCUUUUGAACUGCUAGGUUGGCAGGAGCAGGGACUGAGCAACGGGAGCUCACCCCUUCAUGGGGAUUCGAACCGCCGACCUUCUGAUCGGCAAGUCCUAGGUUCUGUGGUUUAACCCACAACGCCACCCGCAUCCCACAAUGCCCCUUAAAAUAUACAAAAACAAGGAACUGGUCCUUUCCUGCACCAUGCAAAGCUCACAUAGUAUGUAGCCAGCUCCCACACCUCUGGACACAUUUUGGCAAAUUCAAAAAAUUCGCCCGGACAGAAAUUUAACCCCUGAAAAAGAGGACAUGUCCUGGAAAAAGGGGACGCGUCCUAGCAUGGAAAUGCAUGUGUUUGUGAAAAUAACGUGCAAAAGUGUGUCGUGCUAGGGGAAAUCCCUUGGAAAAAUGUGUACAUUGCUGCAAACUGUAUACAAGUAUGUGUAUUCAGGUGACAUUUGCACUAAAAUGCUGCUGCUGGUUUUUUAAAAAAGAAAAUCGUAAAUUGCUUCCAGCUAUAUCUGGAGAAGUGAAUUUAGGAGUGGGGAAAUGUGAAAUGGAGAGCGGCGUCCCUAGCCACCGCCGAGAACUGCAUAGUCAAGUAUCCAUCCAACCACAGUCGUUGGCUGAUGGCCUGCAUCCAGGUUGGAAGCUUGCAAAUUGCACGGGCUUGCUUUGCCCGUGUGCAAAUAUACAACAGAGGUUUGGCUUGGAGUCUGCAACUGUUGCUUUCUUCUGCUAGGUGGGUGUGACCCUUUUCUGGGGCAGACUAGCCCUGGUUAACAAUGGUGCCAUCAGGGCAGGACUUUGGGGAAGGAGCCAGGGCUCCACUCAGCAGAAUGCCAAUGCAGCUGGGCUGGCUUAGCCACAUUUUAAACUAAUAAACGUUGCAGGCUAAGGGGGAGGCCUCUCCACAAGACUGUUCAGCCCAGGCUGUAAAUUAUCUUGGGCCACUGUUCAUUAGCCCUGUGGAAAGUUGUUGUUUUGUUUUUUUUAAAGGAACCCACCCCCCCUUUCUCCCUCAAUUACCUUUGCUGCUACAGUGGUACCUCGGGUUACAUACGCCUCAGGUUACAGACGCUUCAGGUUACAGACUCCGCUAACCCAGAAAUAGUACCUCAGGUUAAGAACUUUGCUUCAGGAUGAGAACAGAAAUCGUGCUCUGGCAGCGUGGCGGCAGCAGGAGGCCUCAUUAGCUAAAGUGGUGCUUCAGGUUAAGAACAGUUUCAGGUUAAGAACUGACCUCCGGAAUGAAUUAAGUGCCUAACCCAAAGUACCACUGUAUUUAGCAUUUAUUCUGUGCUGGUAGUGUGCUGCUAAUGAGCAGAAAUUUGCAAGGCACUUUCUUUUGUGUCUGUUAAGAGUAUAUAAUACUUAGAGAGGGGAGGGAACAGGGUCUUCUGUAGGCUAUGCUGAGACACCAACACCUGCUACUUCACUGCUUCCUGUAGAAGCUUGAAUUGUACCCGCAGGAAAAUGUUAUAUCCCUUAAAAUAAACAGUGCCCUUUUGUGAAGUGUUUGUGUGUGUGUGCAUGCAUGUGUGUGUGUCAUGCAUAUAUAUAUAUAUAUAUAUAUAUAUAUGCAUCUAAGAAAACAGAAGAAAGCCACAGGAUAAAAAUACAGCUCCCGCUAGGCAACAACCAUUGAAAACAGCAAGCUUCUGAAUUCCUGUCUCUGCUCAGAUCUGUUUUCCAAUCUGGAAGGUGUCCCCCCCCCCCUCUAUUUCCCCUUUAGGAAGCUGCCUCUCUACUGAGUCAGGGAUCAUUAGUUCAUCUGUUCCAGAAUUGCCUCCAUUAGCCUUCCCCAACCUGGUGUCCUCCAGAUGUUUUGGAGACCAUAACUCUCCUCAGUCCCAGCCAACACAGGGAACGGUCAGGGAUGAUGGGGGUUGUAGUCCAACAUUCUCUGGAGGACCACAGGUGGUUUUUUUUAAUUUUUUAAAAAUAGUAUAUUCAUUGCUGUCAAUAGGAACUUCACUAUAUUUCCUGCUUGUAAUCUUAUUUGAAUUGGAGUGAAGGAUAAAACCAUAAUAUCCAGAUGAUCUUCUGGGAUACAGAGAAGCAGGGCUUUUUUUCAUCGGGAACUCUCCAGAACUCAGUUCCGGCACCUCUCAGGUACAGAGCCGUAGCUAGGUCUGGUGGAACGCUCUCUCACAAGAGACCAGGGCCCUUCAAAAUUUGGCAUCUUUCCGCAGGGCCUGCAAGACGGAGCUGUUCCGCCAGGCCUUUGGCCAGGGUUCAGUCUGACUCAUUUUCUCUUUGUAUAAGAACAAGCACGAAGGAGGUUUCCCAGCCUGCUCACAGGUCCUUAUAAUAUCAGUGGAAACAGUUGGUCCUGGCGAGUAUUAACCACUUUGAAUUUUAACCUGAGGAUUGUCAUUUGGCCAGUUUUAAUUUUAAUUUAUCUGAAUUCAUUUUGGGAUGCAUUUUAAUCUAUUGAUUGCUUGUUUUUAUGCAUAUGGUAUUAUUUAAAUGAUGUUAGCCGCUUUGAGCCCGGCUCCGGCUGGGGAGGGUGGGGUACAAAUAACAAUUUAUUAUUAUUAUUAUUAUUAUUAUUAGGUGAUCUUGCACCCCUGGCAGAACUGUUCAGAUUGCGCCCCUGAGCCACAGACAAAUUAGCUCUUCCCUCCGCCUCUCCUCCAACCCCACCUCUACCCAUUCAAUUCACCCUCUAUUAAAAACCAUUUCUUAUGAGGCAAUAAUCAAUAUUUAUAUUUAUGGACAUUUUUUUUAAUGCACAAAAACAUACAAAACCAUGUAAAAGGAUCAAAUUGAGAAACAAGGACACACAACAUUUUUUUUUAAAAACUAUCCCUGAACUCCUCUUUCCCCUGCUGCUUCUCCUGUUCUCAAAGUCAAGGUCUGGGAAAGGCUCUCAGGGCUGGAGGGUGGAACAAAACAGGUGGAGAAGCCAUUGCCUGCAGAAAGUAUCUCUCCUCUCAGUCAGGUUUCAAGGUCUCAAUGUACCAGACACCAUAUGACUGGAGUCUGAUGAACGUAAGAUACAAAUGUGUCUAUGCUCAUAGCUUUUUCUUUCUUUCUUUCUUUCUUUCUUUCUUUCUUUCUUUCUUUCUUUCUUUCUUUCUUUCUUUCUUCCCUCCCUCCCUCCCUCCCUCCCUCCCUUCCCAAGCUUGUGAAAUAUAGUAAGGAAAGUCUGGAUGAAAUGCAAAAGCCAUUUGGUAUCCUUGACGUUGAGCAUCUUCUAAGGGGAAAGAACCGUGGCUCAUUGCAAAUGCAAGUCCAGUCCCUGCCAUCUCUAGGUAGGACUUGGAGAGAUCCUGUCUGACAGCCCAGAGGUGCGCUGCCAGUCAGUGUUGACAGUGCUGAGUUAGAUUGACCCAGUGGUCUGACUAGGCGUAAGGCAGCUUGCUGUGUUCCUUUCAAUCUCUAAAUGGCUUGGGACCUAGGUACACAAGGGAAAGCCAAUUCCUAUAGCAGCAUGCUUGUUUACUAAGAUUGUCCUUAGAGACCUUCUCCAUGUAUCUUUGGUAGGAGAGGUACAUUAAGUAUUUGAUCUGUACAGUGGUACCUCGGGUUACAUACGCUUCAGGUUACAGAUGCUUCAGGUUACAGACUCUGCUAACCCAGAAAUAGUGCUUCAGGUUAAGAACUUUGCUUCAGGAUGAGAACAGAAAUCGGGCUCCGGCGGCGCAGCAGCAGCAGGAGGCCCCAUUAGCUAAAGUGGUGCUUCAGGUUAAGAACAGUUUCAGGUUAAGUAUGGGCCUCCGGAACAAAUUAAGUACUAAAACUGAGGUACCACUGUAGUAGCACCCAGACAUGUCUUGCAUCAAAAUAAUGCAAUCUUUUAAUGUGUUCCUAUUUGCCAAAGCAUUUUUGAUCCAGGGGGCAGGGUCCGAUUAAGGCCACAUUCACCCCUAACAUUUAAAGCUUUAUGUUAUUACUUUAAAUAGUCAUGGCAUUCCCCCAAAGAAUUCUGGGAGCUGUAGUUGGUUAAGGCUGUUGAGAGCUAUUAGGAAACCCCUGCUCCCCUGAGAGAGCUACAAUUCUCAGAGGCAAUCCCUCUUCAGGAGGAACUCCCCAAAUCCGUUCCAGACAAUAUUAGAUUGUAUUGCAUUGCAUGCAAUUGCACCCAAUAUUCUUUUGCAAAGAAAUUCCCCAAGAUAUGAUGCAUCGUGUAUGCUCUUUUCACUAAUAUAUUCAUUUCUAUCUCCACGUUACCCUAGCAAAUGCAAUUUUGUACAUGUUGCUUGUCCGAAGAGCUGCAUUGCAAAAUUCAGUGAAGUGCACAUUUUGAAGACCAGCUAAGUUUCGGUCCCAUAUUGUUUCAGCAAGUGCGAACUAGAUAACUUUGCCUUCAAUUGCAAACUCAACCAAAUUUCUUCCCCGUCCCUAGUAACAAACACUUUGGGUCCGCAGCUAUUUUUUUUGGGAUGCUUCCUAAGGCGUACUGUAUCAGAAGCGAAGCAGCCCAAAGCUCAUGCAAUGUGAAGAAAAACAAACACAAGAGAGUGCCUAUCUAUGACUUGACAUUUCCUCUGCUGGACAAUAAAAUAAUUGUUUUGCUGCCUGCCUCUUUUAUGCCUGGGCUUUCAACUGGGAGAUGCCUUCCAGAGCCAACCAGGAAGAACGCGGAGCCUUUUCAAGGGUCUGUCAUGUUGUGCUUGGGUCUUUUUUUCUUUCUGGAAUCCUACUGUGCCUCUUGCUUUCUCUUCCUUCCUCCUUGGCAGAACCUUUAUGCAAAGUUUUGUCUGGAAUAUGUCCUUGAACUUUGAUAAUGGCUCUGAGUUGCUUGGAUGGAGCAUGGAGAAGGGUGUGUGUAGAAGCUACCCUACUCUAUAAAGGUCUAAUUUGCCUCCAUUGCUUCUGGCCCUGUCUACCACUAGCAUAUAACCUGUGGAGGAUUUGACCAGAAAGGAAUGCAGCCUUGGACAGAAGAAAUGUUCUCCGCCCCUAACUUUGUGAACCACCCUUGUCUACAGCAUCACACUGGUUUUAGUCACACUGGCAUAUUUAGAGAUUUCUCUGAAUCUCCAGACUUCCCACCUUCCCCUCCACGGAUCCUGUUGUCCACCUUUUCAACUGCAUAUUAUUUCAUAUUCCAUAUUUUACCGUAUUUUUCGCCCUAUAGGGCGCACCGGCCCAUAGGGCACACCUAGUUUUUUUGGGGGGAAACAAAGACACCCCCCCCCCGUGAGAAGGGGAGAAGCCUGAGCUUCCCCUGACCCCAGCCCCCAGAACAGGCUUCUAUCCGCAAGCCUAGGGAGCCUGGCGGGAACUCCCACCGGGCUCCCCAGGCUUGUGGAUAUCUGCCCGAAGACAGCAGCGCGCCCCAGGCUUCUGUCGGAGAACAGCGGGAAGGUGGCGCUCCACCUCCCCGCUGUCCCUCGAGCUUGUGGGGCUGGCGGUGGGGAGAAGCGCUGAUUUCCCCACUGCCAGCCUCCAAACCAGGUCGGGUUUGGAGGCUGCUAUCCGCAAGCCUUGGGAGCCCGGCGGCAACUCCCGCUGGGCUCCCAAGGCUUGAGGAUAGCUUCCUGAAGCCUGCAUUCGCCCCAUAGGACGCACACACAUUUCCCUUUCAUUUUUGGAGGGGGAAAAGUGCGUCCUAUAGGGCGAAAAAUACUGUAUAUCUUUCCAUACUGUCCAUGGUAUUUGCUACAUCACAAGUGUUACUCCGACCUGGUGGAAUGUUCCAUGAGACCAGGGCCCUUCAGGAUUUAACCUCCUUCCAUUGGGCCUGUAAGACAGAGCUAUUCCGCCUGGCCUUUAAUUUGAAUUCAGCCUGAUCUUUUACUUCCCUUUCCUUCCUCCCCCCUCCCCUUUUAUGAAGAUCACCCGCUCUGCGACCCCACAGCUAAUUCUUUCCUGGUCUCCGCACUGGCCCAAGUAGGACCAAUUCAGCCAGUUAGCCCUGGGGAUUAUCUAAUGCUUAUUUCCCCUAAAUUGAUUUUUGAAUUUUAUUGUUAUUCAUGUUUUUAUACUGUAUUUUAUGCUGCUUUUAUAAUUAAGUGUUUUAAAUUUGUUGUUAGCCUCCCUGAGCCCGGUUUUUGAACCGGGAAGGGCAGGGUAUAAAUAUAAAUUUAUUAUUAUUAUAUUAUUAUUACUAAAAUCCUGCUAAUGUUUCCAUCUGCUUACAGUGGUCUCCUAAAUAAAUUAUAAUUUCCCCCCAUUCUUUACUGAAGUUUUUGUCUUCCUGGUUUCCGGUCAGUUUUGCCAUUUCACUGUUCUCCAACAGCUUGGUUUGGCAUUCCUCUCUGGUAGGGACUUUAUCUUCUUUCAAUCUUUGGACUAGUAGCUUCCAUGCUGCUGUUGUCGCAUACAUAAAAAGUCUCUUCUGCCCCUUUGGGAUAUCGGUACCUACAAUUCCUAACAAAAAAUCACAGUGGCAAAUUUGAUGGCUAUUGAGCCCCUGCCCUGGCAGCCAACACAAGGAAUAGCUUCCUGCCUGUGAAAGUGUAUGUUGUCAAUUAUAGCAUCUCAGGAGCAUUACAUAAUAAAUAGAACAGCAUGAACGGUAGCAAUGCAUAUGGAUUGAUGAGCCUUUCCUGCUGUUAACCCCAUGAGAGCUGCAUGGAUCAAGCGUCUUGACGGAUCCUAAUGUAAGUAGGGCUGGAUGAUAGAUUGAUAUAUCAUCCAAAACCAGUUUGAAGUCCGUAUCGUGAUACUGGUUUAAUAAUUUUGACCUGACAAUAUAUUGUGUGUGCGCGUGCUAUGCAAAAAUCACAAUGUGGCAAAAACUGUGAAGCUAGCCAACAGAUUGUUCCAUCCUUAUUUCAGACAUCAUGAUAUAUCAGUAUAUCAUGAUGUUUAGCUGGUGAUACAUCAUGAUGUUGAAAACCAGGUAUCUCCCCACCCUAAUUGCAAUCCUUGCUUACUUUACAAGGAAGAGCUGUUCCAUAACACGACUGUUCCUAUUGUGUGUGCAGGGGAGGGGGGAUGUGACAAUGGAGCAAUUUUCAUUCAUAAUUUUAUUUGUAUGCCACUUUUCCACAAAAAAGAACCGUGCUCAUAACGGCUUGCGGCAAAGGAAACAGGAAUGCGUUUCAAAAUCAAACAGUGCGAAAUCCAUUUCAUGGCAGCAUAAAAUAGCAACACAAUAGCAUAUUACCAAAACAAUGACAUUUCAGUACUAUAAAUACAAAAAGAUUACACCUUCUGGCAGUAGCAAAAUUUAACAAGGAAGCUUAAUAGCUUCAUCCUGGUCCUAUAAACAUUCCUCUUGAGACGUUGCUCACGGUCCGUCUCCUGCUGCAGUCUUAUAAGACUUGCAAAGGCGGGGUGUGUGUGGUUUAGCUGAAAACACCCUUCCCCUGAAGUUAGCGCCAUGAUGAUGCAGGUAUUCUAGAACCUAACUAGAAUAUUCUGAUAAAAAAUCAGCUGGGUGCUCCUUACAAAAGUGGGCACUAGGCAAAGCGCCUGCCUCACCUAGGGGUCUAAAGGAACAUUUCCGUUCUAGCCCAUUUUUGUCGCAUGCAGCACUGUUUCUGUUCUGCUGCAGUUUAGCUUCUGACAGCUAUGUUAUUCAUCUCACUGUCCAUGGCGGCAGAAUUUUAUGUACUUAAAUAAGGGUCAUCAUUGCAUUAUUCCACACCAUUCGUUUCAAAACAAAGACCAUCAUUUACAUGCAAAUCAAAGACCAGGGAAACGGGGGGUGGGGGUGGGGGGGUUAGAAGGGAGAAGCGAUCAGUUACGUACUGUUUUGCGCGGUAAAAACAACAACGUUGAAUACCGCUUGUAUUCACUGGUUUGAUUUCUGUUCAGGACGUGGGACGAAUAAGCAAGCAUUGACAUUUUCUGCUUCUUUCCCCAUUCAUGUUGGGAGUUCUCCUCCAGCCUUAUCCUACAUCUGGAAUAAAAUCCAGGAAGAUGGCAAGUGAAUUUCUGUUUGUAACCUGUCAGGGCAGCUCUUGCAAGUUCCUGAUGCCAAAGAUAAAAGCAUUAAAGAGUUGAGAAGUUCCGGCUUUGGCUCUUUAUUUCCAGGGUCAGGUACGGGUGAUUCCCAUGUUGCAAUCAAGAAACAUGGAAAGAUCAUUUUGUAAUAGAUCCAUGUAUGUGUAAGCAAGAAUGCAUCACACCCAUGGCCGGAUUUAGGUUUGAUGAGGCCCUAAGCUACUGAAGGUAAUGGGGCCCUUUAUAUGUCCAGCUGUCCUUUGUCAACAACAAAUGGUCACUUUUUGGUGUGUUGAAUAUAUGGUAUAUGGUAACUUAUGGACCUAAAAGGUAUCUAAAGGCAUUUGCACAUAACAAAAUAUGUAUUUAAUCAAAGUAACUGAUAUAGAAAUGAGCAAACCAGUGAUAUUUUAGGAAGCAGGCUAGCAGGCAGGGCCCAUUACUUACAUCAUAGGAGCCUCCACAACACAAAAUACUGUUGCUGUAUGUAGGUUUUAUUUUAUUUGUUUUUUAUCUUAUAUUUUGGAAAUGUACAUCCAGGUUUUUUUCCUUUAAAUUUUUAUGAGGCCCCCGAGAGAGUGGGGCCCUAAGCUAUAGCUUGUUUAGCUUAUAUGUAAAUCCGGUGCUGAUCACACCCAAAGGUGUGCUUGUACAGUGGUACCUCGGGUUAAGAACUUAAUUCGUUUUGUAGGUCCGUACUUAACCUGAAACUGUUCUUAACCUGAAGCACCACUUUAGCUAAUGGGGCCUCCUGCUGCCGCCACACCGCCGGAGCCCGAUUUCUGUUCUUAUCCCGAAGCAAAGUUCUUAACCUGGGUUAGCGGAGUCUGUAACCUGAAGCGUAUGUAACCUGAAGCGUAUGUAACCCGAGGUAGCACUGUAUAUGUUUUCAGUUAUUUGUGUUUUAUCCGUGAUUGUCUUAAUUUUGGGAUUCCCAGUUCUGGGGGGAAAGGCAAGAUAUAAAUAAAAUAAUGAAGAUAUUUAAUGUUUUAAUUAAACAAAUAAUAUUAAUAGUUUUUUAUUGCUAUAAUUGUUGUUGUUCCAUCUGUUGCUUUUUACAAAAAGAAAACCUCAAAGUUUCUCUCAAUAAAAUGCAAAAUACAGGAUUCUGCCUGCAAAGUUAUGGAAAAAUAUUUGGAAACCUAAUGAGCCUGUUAGUUGUGUCCAUUAAUUUCAAUGAAUCUACUCUGAGUAGGGACUAGCAUUUGCUAAAACUCAUUGUACUGUAAUAGGCUUAUGAAAUAAAUACAGCCCUCCUAAAAAGAAUACGAUGCAUUAUGCAUGCCUCAAUUAAAAUUAGAAUACACAUUAAAAAUGUUAAUCCAAUUUGGUCUAGAGAGCCUGGGAGUGGAGGGGAGGGGGGUUUGCAUAUGUUUUUACUCUUCCUCUCCACUUUUCCUUAAAGCGAUAAGGGAGCCUUUUUCAUACACAUGUUGCCUCAAUUUUUAAGAGACCGCUGCUAUUUUAUUCCGAGGAAUAAAUUAGUCCCGAAUAGUAAUAAAAGCAGCUGGUUGCUUUGAAUGUAGGGUGGGGAAUGGGGGUGGGGGAGAGUGCCUUCCACAUAACAUAAUUAAAAAUAAAGUUUGUGGCUAUUAGACAUACAAUAAGCGUUCUGUGCGCUGGUGUGAAAGGCUCUAAACAAACAACUCUUUGCUCAUUUUGCAAGGCUGCCAUAAUUUUACCGCUGUCUGUUUUAAUAGCAGCAGGGGAUCAUUGCGUGCAGCUUUACUCCAUUCUUUUUUUUUCUUUUAAAAAAGAGUAGUUGUAUUCCAUGUUAUUCUCUGAUGGGAUUCAUGGCAGGUUUUGUAGGAAAGUUCUCAAAUCCCUGAUUGGUGCUUUUCAAGGGACGUUCCGUCACCCAGAGUGGUAAAGCAGAAGGUUUGCAUGCAGAAGGUCUCAGAAUUAAAAGCCACUGUCACAGGCCACCUCUCCAGGUCCAGGGGCUACCAGCCACCACUGCUCUGCACUAUAUUUUCAAUUUUCAGACCCUUGUCAUCAGUAUGACCUGAACCCUGUGACGCUUGGGGAUUUCCUUGUAGCUAAGCUUCUCAAAAUUAUUAUGUAAUCUUUUCAAGUUCGGUGAACUAAUAGACAAUAUGGGAUUGAUUUUCAACCACAUCGGCAUUUGCUACCCAGGCUGAUGGGUGCCUUUUGCAGCCUUUGAUUUGCUAAGCAGAACCUCUGCGAUCUCAGAAAGCGAGAUCUGUCUCUGCCAAGGUGUGGUUCUGCGUUUAGAAAUCCUCACUUCAGAGGAAGGUGGAUAUCUGCAGGCAGAAGGAAUCUUCCACUCAGGAAAGGGUUGUUUUAUAACUCAUGCUAGGGCGUUGUGCAAAAAAAGCGCAUCUCAACCCAAAAUGCUUUAAUUAUGAAUUAUUCCAUUUAUAUCCCAGCUUUCCUCCUAGGAGUUCAGGGUUGGGGAUUCAGUUUCCCUCUCCCUUAUUUAAUCCUUACAACAACGCUGUGAGGUAGGUUAGGCUGAGAGAUUGUGACAGGCAUACGGUCACCCAGUGAGCUUCAUGGCAGCUGUGGCUGCUGAUGUUAGAAAGUACCAUUUAGUGUUUUGUUGUUGUGGUGUGUGUGUUUAAAAGAAGGAUUGUAUCAUUUUAAUGGAUUUUAUCUUAUGUUUAUCUAUUUGACCUUCUUUUAAACUCCCUGUGGCUUGUGCAAAGGGUGGUAUAUAAAUAAUCUCUGAAUAAAUAAAAUAAGCAGCUAAAUGGGGAUUUGAACCUGCACUCUAGCCACUAUACCACACUGCCUCUGGAAGAGCUCACAUGAGCGCUUGCACUAUUGUGAAUACAUAACGGGAACCUGCCAGUCACACCGAGUUUCUGACAAGCUCUGUGAACAUAGGAAGCUGACUUUAUACCAGGUUAGGCUAUUUAUUUAGCCCUUUAGCCUUCUCUGUUUAGCAGCAGCUUGGCCUGGUCUUGGACAUUCACAUCACCAGACUGCCUGAGUCCUUUCUCAUGCAAUGCAUAUGCUUUAUUUACUGCUGAGCUUUGCUGCCUUGCCCCUGUGCUAGUGGUUAUGAUCCUUUUGGUCCCCGACCCAUACAUGGUAGCAAUGGACAAGAUGCAUCUCUCUUGCAGAUCUGAAUGGCAGAAGAACAAGUUUGGGGUACGGAAAGAGAGGGUGUUUGCAUAUUGGAUGGAUGCAAGGAAAGUGACAAAGAAAAGAGGAUUUAAUCAGGCAGUGGCCGAGCUCUGAGAAGUGUGUAUGAGCGCACGGUGCUGUUGGGCCUGACCCCAAAUAUCCUGGCUUUUAUAAGGCCCGAGCCUUUGUCCAACUGCUCCUGCCUCUGGAAUUAGGAUGCUGGAGAAUUCCAAUGAAAACAGAAGUGGAAAUUGCAGGUGUUUGCUUAUUUGUGCCAUGUCCAGAACAGAAAUCAAUUGGAGAAUGCAAUUGCUAUUCACAGGUGUUGCUUUCAAUGCAUUACAGCUUUCCCUGUUUGAGUUGUAUUUCAUUUGCUUUGAAAUGCAUAAUGGAAUGACAAUGUAAUGCACGUUACGGAUGUAUGGGAGACAGUGAAAUAGUUUUUAGUGGCAAGGAUCUCCAGUAGAAAGGAGACAGUGCUGCAUGGGACAAACGCAGGGUGGCGUGGAAAAUGAUGUCCUUUUACAUCCUUACACUGGAGCUGCCUACACUCCCAAGUGGUUGCGUAUACUUUUGGACAUACUAAAAAGAAAGAUGCAUUAUAUAUAGGUGUGGAUUCUCACAGAUUCAAUCCCUGGCAUCUCCAGAUAAAGAGUGAGGCAGCAGGCAAUGUGAAAGACAUCUUCCAGAGACAGUAGUGAGCUGCCAAGAGUCCCAGUCAGGCAAUACUGGACUAGUUGGUCAAAUAAUCUCACCUAAUAUAAAACAGCUUUCUAUUUAGAUUGUAAUUAACUCCCAAGCUGCACUGGAGAUGUAAUUAAUUGCUUGCUGAAUUGUACUUAAUGCUGCAGCCGGUGUGAUCUCUGUUCCCUUGCCAUGUUGAAUAAAGUUUCCCUCUGUCAUAGCACUAGAACUCACAGCCGUCCAAUGAAGCCAAAUGAUGGAAGAUUUGGGACAAUAGAAAAGAAAGUUUUUCUUCAAGUUGCACAUAGUUAAACUAUGGAACUCGCUUCUGCAGGAGGCAAUGAUGAUCACCCACUUUAAAAGAGGAUUAGACAAAUUAAUGAAGGAGAGGGCUGUUGAUGGCUUCUAGCAAUCUUCUUCUUUGACAAUCACUCAUAGCCGAGUAAGAUUGUCUUCCAUAAACACGGUUUUAACAAUGAGUCCGUAAGUGACUGGAGGCCAAUUCUGGAUCCACAUGUCCUUCCACAGUGGGGACAUUGGUUUCCAGGUGGGAGUUGAUCACGGUGUGGAUUUGCCAAGCGUGCCUUCCUCUUAGCACGUUUCUCCCUUGCGUCCUGAGUUCGAGUGUCUUCAAAGCCCAUGACACCUUUGGUAAAGGCUGUUCUCCAAUUGCAGAUGAGUGUUUCACAAUUGUUGGUGUUUAUACCAAUUUUUUAAAAAUUUGCCCAAGACAGUUUUUAAACCUCUUUUGUUGAACACCAGCAUUACGCUUUCCAUUUUUAAGUUCGGAAUAGAGUAGUUGCUUUGGAAGACGACCAUCAGGCAUCCACACAACAUGACCAGUCCAACGAAGUAGAUGUUGAAGAAUCAUUGCUUCAACACUGGUGAUCUUUGCUUCUUCCAGUACACUGGUAUUAGUUCUCCUGUCUUCCCAAGUGAUGUGUAAAAAUUUUCAGAGACACCGUUGAUGGAAUCUUUCGUGGAGCUGGAGAUGGCGUUGAUAAGUGGUUCAUGUUUCACAAGCAUACAGUAAGGUUGGUAGUACAAUAGCUCUGUAAACAAGCAUUUUGGUUUCCCUGUGAAUUCUAGUAAUCACGACUAUGCUUUGCCUACAUAGCUGGAGGCAGUUAUGCUUCUGAACACUGGUUGCUGGCAACUACAGGAGGGAAGAGUGCUCUUGUGCUCAAAUCCUGCUGACAGCUUUUCCCCAGGCCUCUGGUUGGCCACUGUGAGAAGAGGAUGCUGGACUAGAUGGGCCAUUGGCCUGAUCCAGCAGGCUCUUCUUAUGUUCUUAUGCAAAUGGCAGCUUGGGCUUGCAGCAGAUGUCUCAAGAGAUGCCUUUGCCACAAGCAGGAGCCCAGAGUGGCCAACGCAAGCAGAGUGGUUGUGUACAUUGGCCCCAAGUCAUUCCUUGGAUUGCAAACAGAAACCCGGUGCGGUUUGCUAAACCAGAGAAGUAUUAAGAAGUCAUUUGUGGCCUGCAAUAUUGUCACGCUCCUCUUCGGUGCUGACUCGCUAUAUCACCCGUUGGCAUUUGGAUUUUCAGUAUUGGUGAGUUGUUUAAAGUGGGGGGAAACACACACCACCAAGUCUGUUUCUUCUGGCUGAUAUUUCCUGAGUGCCGUUCCCUUUACACGUCUGUUUUCAGUGGUGCCUUUUCAGAUUAUUUUUUUUAAAGGUCUCCAACCCUUUAAACACAGCAUGUCUUCAGAUUGUGGGUUGUUGUUGUUUUUUAAUAAUAAUAAAAAACUUCUGGAGGAUCACAGCAUUUUUAUUUUUCUAAGGCUCAGGAUACGUUGGUGGAAAGAGGCAGCCUACUAGACCUGGAACCUUUAACAAAACUUUUCUGAUUAGACAUGGGCUUUACAUUCAAUGCUAUUUCCUGGUAUAACAUAGGAAGCUACCUUAUACUGAGUCAGAUCAUUUGCCCAUCUAGUUCAGUCUUGCCUACACUGACUGGCAGUGGCUCCUGAGGGUUUGGAACAGGGGCUUCUCCAAACCCGACCUGGAGAUGCUGGGGAUUGAACCUGGGACUUUAUGCAUCCAAAGCAAAAGCUCUAAUGCUGAGCUAUGGCUCUUCCCCCAACACUGAAAGCUUGUGUAAUGUACUUAUUUAAAUUUAAACACAUCACUAUUUGUACAUGACUUUUAUACAUUACUAAGCUAGGGAUGGAGAACAUGUGGCCCUCCAGAUAUUGCCGGACUCCGGAUUCCAUCUGCCCCGGUGAGCGUUACAAACGGACAGGGAUGAUGGGAGUUGUAGUCCAACAAUAUCCGCAGGGCACCAGGUUUCUCACCCCUGGACUAGGCAAAUACUGAAAUCAAGAUUAAGGUAUCCUUGCUUAAGACUCAUAACAGAAAUGAAGGAAUAACAAAUAUUGAAAUUAGGUAUUGGCAUAUACCCCAACUUCUUAUUCCAACAUAUUAAAUAUUGGACCAAUGUAUUAAAUAUUUGCUCAUAAAACCCUUGAAAUCCUUUCAACUCUUAAAAACCCUUAAUAUGUUCUGAAUUCUGUCUCUCUCCCCCUCUCUCUGUGUGGUUCUGGUAUGGAUUUUCAAAGGUUGUAGAGGAACCUACCUUAUAUCGACUCAGACCAUUGGUCCAUGUAGCUCAGUCGUGUUGGACUGACAGAGGCUCUCCUGGGCUUUGAGGAGUGAGUCCUUCCAAUCCCUACCUGGAGAUGCUGAACCUUGGACCUUCUGUAUGCAAAGCAGAUCAUGUCCUACACUCGCCUUCGAAAUUCACACUUUCUGAAUUUUGCGAUGCACACCCCCAACCAAAGAAUGCUUAUAUUAAUUUUAAAAAUGCACAAAACGUCAUUCUGUUGGAUGGCUAUGGCUUGUCAAAAUGCACGUACUAGACAAAAUUGAAUACAAACAUGCAUGACUUAGGAGAAAUACGCAAAACAGUGUGCAACUAUGCAUUUUUUUAAAAAACCCCUCAUUGCAAAUGUAUGCAAAAAUGGGGAGAACUAAAAACUGGAAAUCAGCCCUGAGUACUCACUGGAAGGACAGAUCCUGAAGCUGAGGCUUCAAUACUUUGGCCACCUCAUGAGAAGAGAAGACUUCCUGGAAAAGACCCUGAUGUUGGGAAAGAUGGAGGGCACAAGGAGAAGGGGACGACAGAGGACGAGAUGGUUGGAUAGUGUUCUCAAAGCUACUAACAUGAGUUUGACCAAACUGAGGGAGGCAGUGGAGGACAGGAGUGUCUGGUGUGCUCUGGUCCAUGGGGUCAUGAAGAGUCGGACAUGACUAACCAACAACAACAACAACAAACUGGAAGAAUGAGAAACCAAGAUGGAUAGAUUUGCCCAUCCCUACUUCAGUGCUAAUGUUUUAAAUCUGGGUCCCUCAGACAUGGCAUCUAUAAUAGGGUGGAAAAGAGAGGGAGGUGAGGAAGGAGGAUUUCCUUAGCAGUUAAUCUGUUUCAGUUCCUGUACCUUUUGGUAAGGCUUGGUGCCUGCCCCUUCUAAGCUACGUAGACCCUACCAGGAAAUCUAGAAUAAGUAGUCGAUUAAGUAGUUAUUUAGAGUGUGUCAUUAUCUGAUUAGCAAAAUGCUGGCUGACAGAUAGCAAAGGCUGUGAAGUCCCUGGGUGAACACAGAAAGCACUUCUGGGUAUUUACCGGUAUUUUACAUUUGAACUUAGCUCUGGCGCCAGAAGUGAAGGGGUCCCAGUUAAGGUGCUCUUUGCACCCCCUCAACAAAUAGUACACCCCUCAAAGAGUUUAACAGAUCUACCGAUGCAAACUUUGAAAUUAUUGCUUCUAAUUUAACAAGAAAAUCAGUACAUAUUGCUGUAGGGGGACGACUGUGGCCAGAUGACCUGUCUGCUGGCUCAACCUGCUGCCCACUGUUGUUGGACAACUUCAAGGCCAUUUUAUCUCUAAACCAAGCUUGGACCUCACAGCCCUCCAAAUAGAGAGCCAACCUCUGUAAAGUAGGACGCAUGGCCACCAUACAAGAUGGCGUCCUUAAAAUGCCAUCUUGGGCUGCCUUGGCAUGCUUAGCAGACAUGAGCUGCUGAUACUGCCCUGGCUAGCAUGGCUUUCUUUGCUUUCAAGGGUUCAGCCUUGAAAGGAGGGGUACCAGACCAGUUCCUAUGCUUCCAAAUGAGCACAAGAAGAGCAUUGCUGAAUCAGACUAAAGGCCUAUCUCGUCCAGCAUCCUGUUCUGACAGUGGCCAACCAAUGGUAAGCAUGCAAGUAGGACCUUAUGAGGGGUGUGUCAGGGGAGGGGUGUGGAGGGUUGUGGAGGCUCCUUUGGGCUAGAUAAUUUCACCCUUGGACCCUCAGUUCCCCACCAUGACAAAGGUGAAGAACAAAACUUGCAACAGGCCCUAUCCACUUCAAGCUGCCUUAGUCAUAGAUUGGCUGGAUGCAGAGGAGUGGUGAAAGGAAACAGCUGGGGAACCCCCCAAGGUAACCCCCUGGGAGGGGGGAAGGCUCAUUAGCAUCUUAGGAACUCCACUCCAGAAUUGUGUAGGAUUUACUCAUUAGCCCCCCUUCUCCUGAAUAUAUCUCACAAGGCAGCAGAGGUCAGAGCUUUCUUUCUCCUAGAUGGGCUCCCUUCCCAGGUUGAUGAGCCAAUUUGCCCAAGCCUGCCUUUGCAUGCAGGGGAAGUCCCUAACACACUGAGACCCAUCAGCUACCCUCACCUGGUUUAACCAGCCAGUCGAAGCCGUUUCCCAAGGUGUGGCUGCUUUUGCUUGCUGAUAGCUUCUAGGAGCCACACGUGAGAGCUGAGUGCAGGCUGGGAGCCAAAGCUGGACAAACUACCCCAGAAGGAUCAUGGCAUUUUCCCCUCCCGAGGUACUACCUCUCCCCUAACACCCCAUACACAGCACUAAUGGGGCAGAUAAUACAUCAAUUAAAAUAAUCUGUAUGGUUGAAUGUUAUCUACAUAUUUCAUAUUGCAGUGAAUUAUGAAGUCUACUUUUCAAUAAUCUUCUUGUCCAUGUUUUAAAGAAGUGGCAUCAGGCUGCAUCUUACUAAUGGGCAUCCUGGUCCUUCCUCCCAGCUGGUUUGUAUUCAGGGAGGAGAUCAAGUCUGCUAGCUUUGACUUUUAUUAGUAUUAAAAAACCCCACUUUCUUCUGAAGUUCCUUCUUGGGUGCUUCUUGGUUCACAGAGCAAACAGGGUUAUCAUCUGUGUUUAAAGCGAUUUGUGCUAUACGGUGAGUCCCCUGCUAUUCUUAGUUAUUUGCACAGGCUUUGAGAGUGGAGCAGCUGAGAAGCUUUGUGUGCCCUAUUUAGGUCUGGGAAAGACAUGUAAGCAAAUAAUCAAGGUAGGUUAGGCAACAAUCCCUCUGCUGUUUUCUGGCAGGGGUGGGGGGUGGUUCUCUUGUGCUCCAGUGGCACCAAGAGCUUUCUUCUGAGUGGAGAGAGAGGUUUCUGCUUCUGCACUCCCUUAAGGUCAAGGAGGUGCUUCUGGUAGAAGCUCUUGCCAUGCCUAUGCCUUAAACCUUCUCUGCAGAUAACUCUCUCGCAUGCAUUUUUAGAGCAUUUGGUCUGGUGCAUGACAGAUUCCGGCGGAAAUGUUUACAUCCACCACUUGGAUGGGGCAAGGAACAUUUUUCAGGCUGAGGGCUGCAUUCCCUUCUGGGCAACCUUCUGAGGGUUGCAUGCUAGUGGUGGGUGGGGCCUGGAGCAAAUGUGGGCGGAACAACAGAUGCAAAUGUUACCUUUGUGCAGCAAGCUAGGUUCUGCACUGUGCACUUGCUCUCUGUUUGUAUCAUCAGAGCUGGAGGACACAUUCCAGCUAGGCAAACUCACUGGCAAACACACACAGGGCCAGUGAGAAGGGUAUGUUUUGGGAAGAGGGGUGUGUGGCUCAGGGAGAGUUCCAAGGGCCUGGUAAAGAGUUUUGGAGGGCCACAUUCAACCCCUGGACCUGAGUUAAAGGAACGUGAUGAAAGAAAUACGAGGGAGGACAAGCAGCCUGGUCCUGUGAUUAGGGCAAUGGUCCACUGCAGAGAAGUAUGAAAUAAUGACUGGCUGGAAUGAAGUCUGUUUGCAUCUGCAAUCCAUCUGCGGCUCAGACUCGUAACCACAGCAGUAAAGAAUACAGAUAAGCUUUUGUGGAGAUUCAAAUAAAAGGAACAGCACAAGUGAGAGAAGGCUGUGUCUCUCCCUGGGUGCCUUUCGCAAGUGUAGGGCAGAAAUGGGUGGAGUUUUCCCUCACUCGCAAUGCACUUUGGAGAAGGGAAGAAACAGUAAGAGAGAAACUGCAGUGUCAGAGCGCCUGUUGGGGAUGGCUGGAAAUCCCUCCUGCUGGAGGAGCACGGGUGGUUGACCCUGGCAACCUUGGAAGCAUUAUUCAUUAAAUCAUUGAACUGUAGAGUUGGAAGGGACCUCAAAGGUCGUCUAGUCCAACCCCAGCAGAAUGCAGGAGUCACAGCUGAAGAAUCCUUGACAGAUGGCAUCCAACCCCUGCUUAAAAACGUCUACUGAAGUGAAAUUGUAUACACCUGAUCCUGACCCACUAGGUGUGUAGAUGACACAGCAGUGGCUUGGAUCCCGCGUUGUACAGGACAGCAGUGGAGGAAGGACAUUGCGGCAAAUGACCUCCCAACCCAUUCCAUCAUCAACAGCCUCCACCUGCCUGCAUCCUCAUUUAGCAGCUAGUUAAGGGGGUGGUCAGGGAUGUGGUUGGCGCUGUGGGUUAAACCACAGAGCCUAGGACUUGCCGAUCAGAAGGUUGGUGGUUCGAAUCCCCGCAACGGGGUGAGCUCCCAUUGCUCAGUCCCUGCUCCUGCCAACCUAGCAGUUCGAAAGCACAAAGUGCAAGUAGAUAAAUAGGUACUGCUCCGGUGGGAAGGUAAACGGCGUUUCCGUGCGCUGCUCUGGUUCGCCAGAAGCGGCUUAGUCAUGCUGGCCACAUGACCCGGAAGCUGUACGCUGGCUCCCUCGGCCCAUAAAGCGAGAUGAGUGCCGCAACCCCAGAGUCGGUCACGACUGGACCUAAUGGUCAGGGGUACCUUUACCUUUAAGGGGGUGGUCUUGCCAGCCAGCUUUUUCCUUCUUAGUCUCAGUUUUGAACCUUGAGGAACUCAGCAAGGACGAGGAUGGGGACAAAACUGCAAUUAGUCAGCCCUUCCCUUCAUUGGCUCUGGCUGCACCCCCUGGUGGGCUUCUGUCCUACCUUGCCUCCUGCCCCCCUCCCCAGUUCCAAUGGACACCAGCCAGUGUUGCGAGUCAGCCCAAGCUACGAAUAAAGCUUCUGAUGGCAACUGUAGCUGUGACAAACGCUUUUUGUAGCUGAGGUCACACUUCUUGGGAGCAACAGAGAGUAACUAAGGCUAUGCAGAGAUCUGGAUUGCUACAAAAGAGCCUAUUCAAGGUGAAAGCAAGUAUCUAAAGUGGGACAGGAGACAGGUUUCUGGAUGUUUACCUGGGGGCGGGGGAUAAGUCUCACACCACUUGGCAAGGUUUGGGAAAGAUUCAAAGUACACAAAGGGGCUAAUUUUAGCCUGAGCAACUGUGUUGUGACUAGUUCAGGAAUACUCUCCCCCACCCCAAUAAAAAAAAAAAGCCACAUCCCGAAAUAACUUGUUGUUGUCAUUCUAAAUGUUGCGUAGUCAUGGCGGGGGUGGGCAUGCUGUACCCUCCAACAUUUUACAGGUGGAAACGGAUGUUUGUAGCAUGGCUGUUCUGUCCCCAAACACAAGAAUUACUGCUAGAAUUCAUGGGUGGGCAAACUAAGGCCCGGGGGCCAGAUCUGGCCCAAUUGCCUUCUAAAUCUGGCCCGCGGACGGUCCAGAAAUCAGCGUGUUUUUACAUGAGUAGAAUGUGUCCUUUUCUUUAAAAUGCAUCUCUGGGUUAUUUGUGGGGCAUAGGAAUUCGUUCAUAUAUAUUUUUUCAAAAUAUAGGCUGCCCCCCCCCCCAAGGUCUGAGGGUCAGUGGACUGGCCCCCUGCUGAAAACGUUUGCUGACCCCUGUGCUAGAUCCUUCUCUCAUUGUUGUUCUCUGGCAUCUAGAGAUGUAUGGACCUGCUGAAGUCUAGUCCACCCCAUUUUUAAAACAGAACGGGGCUAGGUCUGUUUUGUUCCAUUUCCGGGCAGAUUUUUAUCAUAAGCACACAUUUAAAAAUCAAAUCAAAAGGUACUUAAGAUGGUCUACGAGUUGCCUGCUGCCCAGUGUUCGAAAUUAGCCAAGUGCCAGGUGUAUUUUGCACUGGACUAUUAGCCAUCUGCGACCAAGUGAAGAUGCCUGGGUGACAGGAUGACAUCUGAAAUCUCCCCCAUCUGGAGGCGCAUGCCUGGGGAUCAUUGGAUCUGGACUAUUUUCACACACUAAAACGCCAUCCUGUAGAAUUCUAUCAGUUAUAUUUCAUCUGCACAAUUGGAAUGCAUUUCAGCAACAAAAAGGCUUUUUCUGUGCACCCUGGGCUUGAUAGGGCUUGACGAUGUUCUGUAUCUCCUAGGGGGAGGGGAACACGGUUGUCCCCAUUUAAGCAUUGGUGCAGCUCUGAUCCCACUCACCCUGGAAUGUCACCAAGCCUCAUCACUCCCAGGGGGCCUUGCUCUCUGUACACUGAAGCCCAUGUUGGCAAGGAGCCCCUCACACCAGUUGCUAUUUUAAGAAGUUUAAAGAGGGGAAAUUGGAGGGGAAAGGGAACAGAGGCAGCAUGCCAGCCUCAUGAGAACCAAUUUGGUGUAAUGGUUAGGGUACUGGACUAGGUCCUGGGAGACUAGAGUUCAAAUCCUCACUUGGCCAUCAAGCUCACUGGGUGAUCUUGGUCUAGUCACUUCUUUGCAGCAUGACCUACCUUACAGGGCUGUUGUGGGGAUUCAACGAGGAAGGGGACAACCAUGUACACCACCUUGAGCUCCUUGGAUAAAAGGUGGGAUAUGAGGGCAAUCAAUAAAUAAUAUUGAACCUGCUGAUUCUGAAGUGAAUCAUUGAUCCAGUCUGUGCCAUGAUUUUCCUGGAGUGGAUCAGGUUGAGUCCACUUCGAGAUCUGCACAAUUCAGAUUUUUCCUCCAUCCCUGCUGGCAACUGCCUUUCAAAGGUAUAGUACCUCUGAAUUGGGAUGAUCCACUUAGCCAUCAUCUCUCCUAAGACUUACCUUCCUCCGUGUAUCUGCCUUUAAAGUCGCCUAACUUAGCUGCCACCACAAGGUCUCUUGGCAGAAUUGGAUAGGAACGCGUGGGCUAUGUAGAUGAAAAAUAGUGUUUAUUUUUCACAGUUCGUGUUAAUGGCUUCACCUUCUAAUGAAUCAAGCUAUUAUUUAUCUUGGCUUCUUGGAUUUGUUCUGUGCUCUGGCGAAAGGUUUCAAGCUCGUACCUCUAAGUACUUUUUAUGUCAAAGGAGAUCAAGUUAAAUCCUUUAAAAUGUGUUUUUGAAUGGCUGCAGUCUUUGACACUCUAGCAGGAGCGUUUGAGUGGAUCAGGGAAACAGAAUUCGGAGGAUGAGUAAAUGGAGCUCAAAUCUGCUUUUGCUUUCCCUUUACUUGCAAUUGAGGGUGGAGGGGGAAAAUGGAUUUGGUUCACGUUUAAAGGCAAACCUGCCUAAUUCACGCUUUCUGAAACACCUGUCCUUUGAUAUUCACACUUCUCUGAUUUUUGCCAUGCAGUUAUUCAGUCAAAGAAGGUGUGUGAAAAUGCAUCUGUUACUGACAACAGCAUACCAGAAAGUUAUUAAACCAGGCAACAUUGCAUGCAAAAUAAGUGUAUAUUAGGAGAAAUUGCACUAAAAUGCUGAUGAAGUCACACAAGGACUUCUUGUUGUUUUUGCAACCAUGUGAUUUGGAAAUGUGUUUAUGGCUGGAAAAAAGACAAAGUGGGAGAAACCAAAACUGGCAGAUUUUCCUAUCUCUGCUUGUAUUGCAAAUAUGCAUCCUACUCUGACUACUGUAAAGUACAAGACAGCAUGAAUGGUCUUCCCUUGUUUGCUCUCCCUCCAUCUUCCUUCCUGUCACCCCUAUUAUCUCUGCUGCACCACAUUUUAGAAUGUAAUCUCCUUGUGGUGGGGACGUACCUUCCGCCACUACUAUCUGUCUGUCUAUCUAUCUAUCUAUCUAUCUAUCAUCUCAGUUUCUUUCCUGUGUUCCAUCCUUACCAAAUAAUUCUACAAAUGUUGGGGGCUGCCUUAUACUGCUAUGUUCUUAUUUGCCCAUCAAGCCCAAUGCACGUCAAUCAGACUGGCAACUAGUAUCUCUGUAGGUUAUAUUCCUGUUUGAUGCCUGUCAUAUCUCACUUGUCAUGGGCACCUGGCGAAAAGCCUCAGCAUUGGAUUGUAUUUAACAUUAGCCAUAUGCAGAACAAAUCUAUUAAAAUUACGUAGGCAACUAACUUAGGUCCGUUAAUUUCAGUGGGCCUACUCCAAUGACUAACACGGGAUAUGACCAAAUGACUUUGGCGUACAUCAGCCGUAAGCAAUGUGGUAUGCUCCUGAUUUUGCUGGACUUCCAGCUCAAUAAGGAGGAAAUUAUGCCCCAGCCCAACAGGUUUGGGGAAGACUGUGAUGCUGGGGUAGAGCAUCUGCUUUGCAAACGGAAGGUCCCAAAUUCAAUUCCCGGCAUCUCUAGGUAGGCUAGGAAUGGCCCUUUCCUGAAACCCUGCAGCUGAGUGUAGACAACAGUGAGAUAGAUUGACCAAUGUUGUGACUCAGUGUGAGGCAGCGUUCCUAUGUUCCCAUGAACACAGGUAGAAACAACAACUGCAAACCAUAACAUCAAAAUCCCACAAAGCAGAAAAAUAUAAAGUAGCUCUGCGAAGCAACUUUAGAUGGCAAGUAGAAACAAAUGGCAUAACCAGUGAAUACUCAUUUGAAACUGUAAUAAGAGACAUAGCCAAUUCAGCUUAUAACACACUUUGAGCUUUAACACAUCUUCAGCCAGUUGUGAUGCAGGUGUUGGGCUUUAAUUGGCAGCCAUCUUGCAAAGAAGUGUGACUGUUUUAGCAUGAAGUGGGAGCCUCUUUGAAAGAAUGGCCAUACCCAGUGUCUGCAUGAUUAUUUCCCUCUUUCUCUGGCUCCCUCAAUGCUAAUCUGUCGCGAACCAGCCUGGAAGCCUCAUUAUCCAUUUGCCAGAGCAAGUCAUGGGGCCUACUACGCUGGCACUUCAGCAGAUGACCAGACAAAUUAAUGGAGGAGAGGGCUAUUGAUUGUAACUCGCCACGAUGGCACUGUACCUCCAGAGUCAGAGAUGCUUCUGAACACCACCUGCUGGAAGCCACAGGAAGCAGGAGUGUGCUUGUUCUCAAAUCCUGCUUGCAGGUUUCCCACAGGCUGGCCACUGUGAGAAUAGGAUGCUGGGCUGCAUGGAUCAUUGGCCGAAUCCAGCAGGCUCAUCUUACAUUCUUACGAUGCCAUUGCUCCUGGUCUUAAAGCACAAACAAACUCCAAACCAUGAGCUGUGCUGUUCUGUGUUCCCCCUAUGCCACAACAUAGGGAGGGAGGACUCCUUCCAAGGAAAUGCUAGCCCAACCUUCCAUUGGGUGUGUAGACAGGGUCUCAAUAUUCAGAGGAGGACAGGGGCUGCUACGCCAUUAAUGAUUGUGUAGAAGGAAGAAGAAGAAGAAGAAGAAGAAGAGGAGGAGUUUGGAUUUGAUAUCCCACCUUUCACUCCCUUUAAGGAGUCUCAAAGCGGCUAACAUUCUCCUUUCCCUUCCUCCCCCACAACAAACACUCUGUGAGGUGAGUGGGGCUGAGAGACUUCAAAGAAGUGUGACUAGCCCAAGGUCACCCAGCAGCUGCAUGUGGAGAAGCGGAGACGUGAACCCGGUUCCCCAGAUUACGAGUCUACCCCUCUUAACCACUACACCACACUGGCUCUCAGUGCAGUGUAGUGCAGGCGGUUCCUCUGCACUUGGCCACCCAAAACGUUGAGCUGAUUGUGCGUUUCUUUGGAUCCUGUCCAGUGCUUUGCAGAUGUAACCCUAUGGUGAUGUAGCCUUGAGGUGAUGACUGAAGGAUGGAACGACUCCAUGGCAGGAGCUCAUGACACGAUUGCUGAACUGUGCCAGAUGGCUGGCAGUUGUUCUUAAUUCAGAUCACAGCAUGGCUGACCGUAUUUCAAAGGCUCUUUCAGUGUUGAAGGUGGGGGAAAAACUUUUAAUAAAGUUGCUGCUGUUCAAAUGUGCUCCCUUCCCCUCCAACCCCACCCCUGCCUUCCAGUUAUUCCUAGAUGUUCAGAAUGUUGUCCUUAAUUGACACCCUCCUUUCCAGAUUGGGGGAGUGAUGUUUUAUGGAAUAUUCAUAAUAUGUCUGCCACUAAUUAUCACUCUACCAAUGUGCUAUUGGGCAUAUGCAUACAGUUGUCUGGAAAAAACCACACACACAUAUGCUGAGCAACUGGGAUUUGAAUGGUGUCUCUCGUGCUGUUUCCACUCCACUGUGGUUGAGCUCAUAUUUUAUUAGCUAAAACGGGAGAAGGCAAGGAUGUUUCGGAAAGCAAAUGAGCCGACUCUAUUAUUGGCUUGUUUUUCAGUCCUACAUUCUCAGCCUAGCUUCACAUUCUCACCAGUCUCUCUUUGGCAACAUGUCAUGAAAUCAUAGUAUUGUUGAGUUGGAAAGGAGCCCAUCUGGUCUAACCCCUGCAAUGCCACCACAACCCCUCAACCCUGAGGUGCAUCUUAUUUAUUUUUUCAAGGUUCUGUAGAACAAUCUGCACCCCACAAUUAGGAAUACAGUUAUUCAGUGGAAGAAAAGUAUUAAUCAAAAAUACUUUUAGAUGCUUUUAAGUGUUUUAAAUGUGCUUUUGUUUUAUUUUUUAAAUGCAUGGCUUUACCACUUUGUAAAUAGUAGUAAUAAUAAUAAUGAGUAGUGGUUUAUUUCACUGAUGUCCUGCCUUUCUUCUCAACAGGGGUAACCAAUGUGGGACCCUCCAGAUGUUGGGUUGUACCCAACUAAGCCCUACUCAGAGUAGGCCUGUAGGCCCCAUUUUGACGAGCAUCCUCAGAUAGCACCUCAAAAAUGUUUUACCACCCUGAUUGUAAUUUUCACAUCUGGGAAGGCUUCAGGAAUGUCCUCUCAAUUGUGGUAAAAACAUGAUGCCUAAAAUGUAUAUUGUGACUAAUACAAAUUGGUUGCACCGCCCAUUUCCCAAGCUUGGGAGUUCAUCUUUUUGAAAUGCUGAAAAUUCACUUUCUGGGAUCAUGGGAGAUAUGUACUAAGUACAGUGGUACCUCUAGUUACGAACUUAAUUCGUUCCAGAGGUCCGUUCUUAACCUGAAACUGUUCUUAACUAGAGGUGUGCUUUCUCUAAUGGGGCCUCUUGUUGCCGCUGCGCCGCCUGCACAUGAUUUCCGUUCUCAUCCUGGGGCAAAGUUCUCAACUCAAGGUAACUCUUCCAGGUUAGCGGAGUUUGUAACCUGAAGCGUUUGUAAUCUGAGGCAUUUGUAACUUGAGGUACCACUGUAUUAUAUUCCUCUGACAAGUUGGGAGUUCAGGCCCUAGGAAAAACCCCACUUUGUAUAAAAUCCUUUUUACUGCAUUUAUGUUUUGUCUCAAUUCCCAUAAAUGACUGCUUAGGAGAACUCAGUGUGGUGUUUUACUGUAUUCCGAUGUUAAGCAAUUUGAUCAAUGUUGCUAUAAAGUUCUAAAGAGCUAUAAAUUUGCUGCUUAUUAAUUUGCCUUCUGGAGAGUUUUGACGUCUGGUGCAGUUUUAGGGUCUAGAAGGUGGAGCUGCAAUUUUUAAACCUGAACAGAAGUUGUUCUUGGUUUUUCCCUCCUUCCACUCUAUAUUUAUUUUUUCUUGACGAGCAGUUGCACUUUCCAGUCUGUUCUCCCCUCUCUAGAACUCGUGAGCAUCCAAGGAAGCUGAACGCUGGAAGAUUAAGGGUAGAUAAAAAAGAAAGUACUUCUCCACACAGUGCAUAAUUAAACUAGGGCACUUGCUCCCACUGGCAGCAGUGAGGGCCACCAACUUGGAUGGCAUUAAAAUAAGUGUGGAUAAAUUCAUGGAGGAGAAACUGAUCAAUGGCUACUAGCCAUGACAGCUGUGCUCUGCCUCCAUGCUUAGAAGCAGCAAUGUUUCUGAAUAUCAGUUGCUGGGAACUGCAGGAAGAGUGAAUGCAUGGCUCUUAUGCACUUAUGAAUGGUAAUAUAUAAAUGCCUUAAAUAAAUAAAAUAAGGGAGGCAGCAGAAACAGCGUGGAGUUUAUCAUGGGGUCCUUUGGACUGAAGACAUAAAAAUCAAAAGCUUAAAAAAACAACCCAUUUCCAACAUUAUUCCGGGGAAAGUAAUCACAUGAGGCUUACUAGAUCAACAUAUUUAUUUAUGACUUCUACAACCCUUAAGACAGCAUCUUAAAAAGCAGAGACAUCACCUUGCCAACAAAAGUCCGUAUAGUUAAAGCUAUGGUUUUCCCAGUAGUGAUGUAUGGAAGUGAGAGCUGGACCAUAAAGAAGGCUGAUCGCCAAAGAAUUAAUGCUUUUGAAUUAUGGUGCUGGAGGAGACUCUUGAGAGUCCCAUGGACUGCAAGAAGAACAAACCUAUCCAUUCUUAAGGAAAUCAGCCCUGAGUGCUCACUGGAAGGACAGAUCUUGAAGCUGAGGCUCCAAUACUUUGGCUACCUCAUGAGAAGAGAAGACUCCCUGGAAAAGACCCGGAUGUUGGGAAAGAUGGAGGGCACAAGGAGAAGGGGACGACAGAGGAUGAGAUGGUUGGAUAAUGUUCUCGAAGCUACCAGCAUGAGUUUGACCAAACUGCGGGAGGCAGUGGAAGACAGAAGUGCCUGGCAUGCUCUGGUCCAUGGGGUCACGGAGAGUCGGACACGACUAAAUGACUGAACAACAGCAACCCCUUAUUACUUUAUUAUGACUUCUACAACCCUUUCCCCAGGCUUGUAUGUAGGUUCAUGACUUUGGAGGUACUCGGAAGAAGCAAGAUGGAGUGUCAUGGCUUCUGUUGCCAGGGCCAGCCUGCAAGCUAGUUUCUGUAUUACUUCAUUAAAAACAAAGCUAGGUUUUGGAAUGCCAAUAUGAAAUAGUAAGGCAGGAGAGCUAAGGGCCUACUAUUUUAAAUGUUGAGAAUCCACAUAAUGCUGCUUGGGCAAAAUGUUGCCAGAAACUGAGGACUUUGGUGGAAUCAACACACACAGAAAAAACGCUGUAAAAAGGCUUUAAAAAAAAGCAUUUAGAUGAAUACAUUAAAUUUUGCAUAGCUCACUGUCGCCAUCUAGUGCUCACAUUUGUAUAUUGCACUUUACAACACAUUUUAUACAUUUUAUUUGCAGCUGUAUAGCUGACUCCAUAUUCACAUCUAUUUAGUUGUUGGGUUAUAAGUCUUUGGAGUCCUUCCUCACUACGGUAUUUUUUUAUCUAUCGACCAUGGCAGGUUGGGGGGGGGGCGGCGGAAUGUCUGACGUAAUACCCAAAUUCUUUUGUUAGUAACUCAUCUGAUUCUGUCCUCCAAAUCAGCACUGCUUGUUCUCCAAUAAAUCUGCAACAGUGGCUAUUCAAUACUUCCACAUUGCUGCCCUUUUAAAUUCCUGGCAAUCUUACUACGAGUCUGCACUAUAGCAAUAUGGGCACUGACUUGGGCACAUAAGAGUUCAGUUAAGCUUUUGAUCCUAUCAGAUCAACACCUGACAUUUGCUGGGAGCUCUCCAUGGUCCUACACAGCUCAAGCUUGUUCUGCUCUCGAGAAACCUGUACUCAAGGGAUGCUGAGAUUUUGUGGUUUUAGUGGCUUGCAGACCCACAGAAGUGAUGCUUGCCUUAGAACUGAUGCUUUGUAGAGCAGCUUCCCCAACCUGGUGCCCUCUAGAUCUUGUUGGGACUAUAUAACUCAGGGGUGUUCUCAAUGACCACACUUGAGAUGAAACUUUUUAAUAUAUAUAUUUUUUUAAAAAACCAUUUAUUUAUUUAUAUUAUUUUGGAAAAUGUAGACAUAUCUACAUAAAAAGUGUAAAAACGGGACAGAAGUAAAGUGUGCCUGCAGAUUUGACCUCUGCGGAAUUACUUAAAGCCAGUUCUGUUUGCUUGCAUGUGUUAAUUUUAAACAAGAAAGAUGGGAUAGUGCACUGCGGAGUGUUCCUGGCCAGGAUUCUAUCCUAUCAGCCAUGCCCUGUGCCUGGAUACUCCAUUCCAUUUUCCUCUGGUUUUCCAUUCCCAUCCUAGAACACUCAGCCAGUACUGAAUGUCCACUGAGCAUGCUUAGUUCUCACUGGAAUUUUUUGUGCUGGGAGGUUACUAUCUCUCUCUGUGUGUGUUUAUAAAUAUGUGUGUGUGUACUUCUUCAAACUUUGGGGCUCCCCCCAACCUACUGAUACCCCCCUUUUGUACAUGUGUUGCUGUUUUGACUACAUCAAGGUCAACAGUUACCCCUGGACUUCAGAAGCAGAAUGAUUUUCUGAUCGGCAGGAUGCUAUUUUUGCACUCAUGGUCAUAAAGCACCUAGGGAAAUGCAUUUACUAUUAAUAUAUAUCAAGGGUACUCAACACAGUACCCUACAGAAGAUGUUGGACAGCAACUCCCAUCAUCCUUGGCUAUUGGCACUACUUUCUGGGGCUGAUGGGAGCUGUAGUUCAACAACAUCUGGAAGGCAGCAUGUUCUCUCUCAGUAUGCAUGAUGUCUGUCAUUUCUGCUUGAAGCUUUUCAAGACAGCUUAAAAUGUAUAAAUGAGACCUUGCGGGUAUAGGGCGGUAUAUAAAUUCAAUAAAUAAAAUAAAAAGAAACUGAAAAUACAACUGAAAAUGGAAAGAAAGAAAGAAAGGACGAAGGAAGCAGGAAAGCUAAAUCCAACAUCUGGAGGGGAAGCUUAGUCCAAAAGUUAAGACAAAAUAAAUUCCUUCUACACUAGGGGGCUCCAAAUGCCCUCCAAAACUACACAGCCUUCUCCUGUCACCAGAAGACCAACAUUGCUGGUGCAAAAUGAACUUCUUUUGUGGAACAAAGUUCCAGGGCGUUGGUGCCACUGUAGAAAAGGCCGGUCCUGUCCGAGAUGAUACUUCACCAUCGUUCACACAGUGAACCCCCAUGAAGAAAGGUUACAAUGUUUGGGCUUUGAAAAGGUUUUUUUUGGGGGGGGGGAGGAAAUGGUAGAGGUGAAUAAAACGUAUGAUGUACAGUUGGCAUCCGCCUGUCUCAAGAGGCAAUGGAGUGCACCUCCAGGGGUGAAGUCAAAUUGCUGUGUUAGCAGCACUGAAGUGAUCGCCGGGGGGGGGGGGGGGAGACAAGCCACAGUGUGUAUGGAGGGUUGCCCAGAUGAUAAGACCCUCCUCCUUCUUGGCCUCACUGAUGUGGUUCAGAGGAAAGCAGAGCAAUGCAUUUGGCACCAGCUUGACUGCAGAAGUCGCCAGAUGGCACAAGGUGCCAUCAAACUGUCUUUGGGACUCCACUCUGAAUUUGCACAGGGAUUACUCCUUAGCCCUUUCUUCUCCCAAAGAUCUCCCACAAUGCAGCAGAGGUUUAGAAUGUAUGAUAAAUCUAGAACUCUGGGUCAUCCAAUCAGCUUCAUUAGAUGACCCAGAGUUCUAGAAUUAUGAGGGAGGGGGAAAAUGUUUGAUGUGGAGGGAGCAUUUCCCCCCUCCUCCAUAAUUCUAGAACUCUGGGUCAUCCAAUGAAGCUGAUUGGGUGGAUAUUCAGGACAGGCAAAAAGCAGUGCUUCACACGGAGUAAAACCGACCAGUUUAAGGGAUUCAUUGUCACAAAAUAUGGUGAUAAUCUCAAGCGUAGAAGGAUUUAACAGGGGAUCAGACAAAUUCACGGAGGAUAGAGUUAUCCGGGAUGGUUCAUCAGGAUGGCUAUAUGGAUGGUGACAGCAGCCACGAAAUUAAAAGACUCCUGCUUCUUGGGAGAAAAGCAAUGACAAACCUAGACCGCAUCUUAAAAAGCAGAGACGUCGCCUUGCUGACAAAGGUCCGUAUAGUUAAAGCUAUGGUUUUCCCAGUAGUGAUGUAUGGAAGUGAGAGCUGGACCAUAAAGAAGGCUGAUCGCCGAAGAAUUGAUGCUUUUUAAUUAUGGUGCUGGAGGAGACUCUUGAGAGUCCCACAGACUGCAAGAAGAUCAAACCUAUCCAUUCUGAAGGAAAUCAGCCCUGAGUGCUCACUGGAAGGACAGAUCCUGAAGCUGAGGCUCCAAUACUUUGGCCACCUCAUGAGAAGAGAAGACUCCCUGGAAAAGAUCCUGAUGUUGGGAAAGAUGGAGGGCACAAGGAGAAGGGGACGACAGAGGACGAGAUGAUUGGACAGUGUUGUUGAAGCUACCAGCAUGAAUUUGACCAAAGUGCGGGAGGCAGUGGAAGACAGGAGUGCCUGGCGUGCUCUGGUCCAUGGGGUCACGAAGAGUCGGACACAACUAAACGACUAAAUAACAACAGGUUCAGAGGCAGCAUGGUGCAGGGCAAUAUGUCUUGUUUGUGGCCUUCUCAGUCCCCACCAUGGGAAAUGGGAUGCUGGAUGCAAAAAAACUCUUCCUAUGUUCUUACAGACAAAUCCAUGGAGGGAUAAAGCUAGUCAUUAUAGCUAUGUGCUAACUCUGGUAUCAGAGGCACCAUGACUCAAUGCCAGUUGUUGGGGCCAUAAGAAGGAGGGUACCGUUGUGUUCAUGUCCUGCUCGUGGGCUUCCCAAAGGCAUCUGGCUGACCACUGUAGGAAACAGGAUGUUGGAUUAGAUGAGUCUUUCGUUAGACCGAACCGGGUUCUUAUGUAACUUGGAGCCAGGGCCUUGGAGGGAGGAGUUUAAUAAAUGUUUAGGAGACUGUCCUUUAGUUCUGCCAGACCCAGCGUGCUUAGGGUUUCAAAGGUCAACCCCAGGAUUUUGAAUUGGCCUUGGAACUGAUCCUGUUACUGCAGAUGUAAGUCUUAAGUAUGCUUACUCCAAAUACGUUCCACUGAAAUCAAUGAAAUGUUUAUUCUCAGGGGACAUGUUUAGGAAUUAAUGCUACAGGAAUCCUGUAACUGGUACAUGGAUAACAGCUGAUUUGGUGCAAUUAACUGGUGCUGCAAUGACUUGUUGCCUCUCCAUCUUGAUGUACUUUUAGCCAGUCCACUUUACUGCAGGGAUGUAUAUUUGCUGUUGAAACUCUGUUUUCAAUUUUGAGCAAAACACUGAUGAAGAAAAGGGCUGAUUCUUCUUUUUUUAAUAUAAAAAAUAUGAUAAUAAAUAACUUCUGAUUCCAGUAAAAGAGGAAAUUCAGUGAGUCAGUUCUCUGACAUGAGCAGAUGUCAACAUAUUAUCUAUCACUCAUCAUUUCCAUUUGGGAUCUGUUUUCCUUAGUGGGUAUUUGGCCUAGGAUUAAUCUAGGGCAGGAGUAGCCAACUGGUGUCCUCCGGAAGUUGCUGGAUUACAGCUAAUGCCAUCCCUGAGCUUUGGCUGGGACUCAUGGGAGUUGUAGUCCCAACAACAUCUGGGGAGUACCUUGUUGGCUAUCCCUGAGCUAAGGAAUAGAUUGUAUGUGCAGAGCUUUGCAGGUCUAGGGAGGGUCCUUGAAGGGCCAGAUUCCUAAUCUGGUUCCCUCUAGAUGCUCUGGACUACAACUCCUAUCCACUGCAGUCAUAGGGGCCAACGAUUAGGAAUGAUGGAAGUUGUAGUCUAAAACAUCUGGAGGGAACUAGCUUCAGGAAACAAGCUUUUCAAAAAAUGGCUUCAGGAAGAGAGAUGGUUCCCCCUUUAAAGAAGAAAGAAGACCCUAGCUUGUUCUAGUUGCUAACUCGGUUAGUGAGAUCCAGGACAGAAGCAAGCAAAAAAAUAGAAGUGCGAGGAUCUCUUUUGCAGUAUAAAUUCCUACUGGAUCAGACUACAGAGGAGGUUCUCUGUGUGGGAUGUAAUCAACUGGGAGCAGUCAUGUACAACAUUCCUUGUAAUGCUAGAGUGGACACGCGGGGGAAUGUUUAGUCCAGCCAGUCGAAACUUCCUGUUCCUCCUGGCUGCAGUAUCCUUCCUUUGCAUGUGACUAAAGGUGGGUGUGAUCUUACCUGUCCAGGUAACAAAAGGACGAGUCACGCAGCACACCUUUCCCCUUUUUGCUUCUUUCUUUGUUGGACCAACUUCUUAGCUUAGAGUGCCCUGCUAGCUUCUCAGCUAGCAGAAGCACUGGAUUAUGCCCCCAUAUGGGGUCCAACUGUGAACUGAUGUGAGUAAACUUCUUUUAUUGACUUUGAAUCAGAUUGUCGUGUCUUUAUUCUUUUAAGAGGGAUUAAAGGGAAUUUACCAGGAAUAUACAAUUCAAUACUGAGAGGCUUACACAAGCCUGCAACCAGCUAUCUGCUGUGCAUGUAUGAAAGGGGAAUGUGAACUCUGCGACAUAAAGAAACUUGCUAGUGCAAGUUAGGAAGGAUAUUAAUAAAGAAUACGUCCUCUCCUGCCACCCUGAACAUUCCCACACUGUGGACCACCAUUGGACCACCUAGCUCUACCUGGAGAUACCAGGGAUCAAACCUGGGAACUUUUUGCAUGAAAGUAGCACUUGUGCUUCUGCCACUGAGCAUCUCUUCUCUUCAUAAGAUACUGUUCAGAUGUAGUUCUGAAAAAGUGAAGAAUGUAUCUUGGCAACUAAUUAUAUCUAUAUGAACUUUGAAGGUACGUUAAUUAAAGUCAUAGUCCUGCCUUUCAACUUCGAAGAAUUCAAUUUGUCUGUGUGCUCACUUUUGCUUGCUGUAAUAUCCAAUAUUAAUUUUGAAAGCGAGGAAGGAAAUGAAUAUUAUUCCAAGGAUCAUUUUAUAUGUGAAUGGCCACAAUGAACAUUUCCCUUCCUCCCUCUCUCUUUAAUUUUAAAGACCUUUCUGUUAUGUUUGGCUUUUAAAUUUUUACAGGAAUAACUUAAUUAUUGAAUAAUUUAGUCAAUAUCAUUAGUGAUAUGGAAGACUGGAUCAAAGGCACAUUUAUUUAAGAUAGCAGUGGUCUGGUACUAGGAAGAUUUUAAGGUACUCCAAGUAAAAUGAGGAGGGAAAGGGGGUAAAAUGAAAACUAAUCCCAGGAAAUUGACAGUUAUUGCAGAAAUGCUUGGAAAACAAUACAGUGGUACCUUGGUUCUCAAACAACUUGGUUCUCAAAAGCCAGAAGUAAGUGUUCCAGUUUUUGAACAUUUUUCGGAAGCCAAACAUCCAAUGUGGCUGUCAGCUAUUGUUUCCAGGGCGCCUGCAAUAAUCAGAAGCUGUGCCUUGGUUUUGAAGAUUUCGGAAAUCAAACGGACUUCCAGAAUGGAUUAAGUUUGGCACUUUUGUUUUUGCUACUUAUUUUGGGUUUUUGUUUUUGAGGCUUUUUCGUUUUAUUUGUUUUGUGUGGAACCCAGUUCAGCUACUGAGUGAUGGAUUGUGUGACUGCAGAAAUGGAUGAAAGCCCCCCCCAUCCAAACAAUGACUAUCAUCAAUGCAGUAAGAAAAAAGUUUACUUUUAUUUUUUAUCAUCUACAAUACUGUCUUAUUUGUUUUAUAGUAAAGUACAUUGAUCAUUGCUUUCAUUUUAUGGAUCAAUGGUCUUGUUAGAUAGUAAAAUUCAUGUUAAAUUGCUGUUUUGGGGGUUGUUGGUUCUGGAACACUUUGGUUUUGGAACAGACUUCUGGAAUGGAUUAAGUUUGAGAACCAAGGUACCAGUGGCGGAGCUUCAAGCUCCGGCACCGGGGGGCAGAGAGCAGGUGGGGGCAUGGCUGGGGUGUGUGGCGCGUGUCCCGGGAGUGUGGCUGGGGGUGCAGCCGCAAUGACACCCCACCGGGAUUGUGCUGCCGGGGGUUGUCUGCUCCCCCCGCCCCCUCUUCCUCCGCCAGUGCAAGGUACCACUGUAUACCAAAAUAAUUUGUGGAUUUUUUUUAAUUAUAAAGGUACAUAACCAAAGAACAAGCUUGCUGUAUUGAAGGCUGUAGCUAACCAUUCUUCUGUGUGAUGCAGGAGCUUGGAAGGAUCAUUUUAAAAGGGAACUGGUUCAACAUGUCCAAAAAAAAACUAUUUCCAGUUCACAUUCAUCCUUUUACAAAAUGAACAAGUUUGGUUCAUAUUAGGGCUGGGUGAUAUAUCGAAAUAUCAUCCGAAACUGGUUUGAAGUUCAUAUCGUGAUGUUUGUUACAUAAUUUUUGAUGUGGUGAUAUAUCACAACUCAUGGUGUGUGUGUGUGUGUGUGUGUGUGUGUGUGUUUGUGCUAUGCAAAAGCCGUAAUGUAGGGAAAACAUUAGGAAGGACUUCCCAAUAGAAAGGGCUGUUUGACUGUGGAACAGAAUACCCUGGAAGGUGGAGGACUCUCCUUCUCCUUCACUGGAGGUUUUUAAGCAGAGCUUGAAUGGCCAUCUACCAGGGGUUCUUUAGCUGUAAUUCCUUCACUUCAGGGGGUUGGUUUAGAUGACCCGGGGUCCGUACAACUCUGUAACUGUGAUUCUGUCUCUUCUUCCAGGGCAGGGGUGGGGAACAGGAUGCAGUUAGCAGGCAGAUUCUGACCUCCCCACCCCCAAUGACCCUCUUUGACAGGGGAGUGGGACUUCCCCCUAUCUGUCACCUGAUGUUGCAAUUAUGCUGGGUGACUAAAAAGAAAAAUCCUGGCUCAAGUCACACCUAUAGAUCCUUUGCAUCACGGGCUUCAAUUUUACUUGGAGGCUGUGGCGUUUGCCUCCUAGGCUGGGUCAUAAGGAAAGAGUUAAAAUAGGUUGUGAUGUGAUUGGCCAGUGAGAAUGCAAGGGGGGAAUAAAAGAGUGGGAGGUUUUGAAAGUCAGUUGAGUAGAGUUGAGGUUUGGGAGUUAGGGGUUGAGUUUUGGAGUUGAAGAAUGAAGAGGGAGGUUUGGUGUGGGUUGGUAGAGUUGUAUUGUGAGAGAGUGAGAGGAAUUGUUAGGUGGAGUCAGAUAGAUAGUUGGAAUAAUCAGUUUGGAGUUGUUAGGAACUAAGAAUAAGAAACUGACAAGAGAAAAAUUAACUGUAACCAUAAGCUUGUUCCUGCAUUUAAAAAUAAACUUGAUUAUUUGUUUAUGUUAACAACUGACUGGACUCCGUGUGUCCCCGUGAGAUACGGGGUGGUGGCAGCGGAAAAAGCAAUCGCAGUGGCAGCACAGGGUCAAUAGACCGUCAAACGUCCGGGGGCCCUGUGUGUGAUUGCCACAGAGGCAGAUCCCAGCUCCUGGGCACAAGCAGCAGUAACCUCUUUCCAGCUAUUUCAGGUUGUUUUUAUCCCCGUUGCUGGAAAAUUUCUCCUAAUGUGAUCUCAGCUGCUUUAGGUUCAGCAGUAUAUGAGCCGAUUUAAAAUGCUGAGGAAGUGUGCAAGACAUGGCCUUUCCGGGGUCUGUGUUCAGUUUUUUAAGCUGUGGUGGGAACUUCCAUGUUCAAAAUGCUCCACUAGGUAAGGAAGUGAGGGAUUUAAAUAAUCGCCUCUCUUUGUCUCCAGUGUUGGCACCCGUCCAUGCCUUGUGUCUGGGUGCUGGCACGGUGGCUUCGGUGUCUUGGCUGAGUGUCAGCUCCAUUUCCCACAUCUUGCCUUGCAGUCCUUUCCGCUUUUAUGACUUCUGGACUUGCGUCCCUCGAACCGGCGAGCAGAAAUGGUGCAGUGCCCAGAAGUGUUCUCUUUCUCAGAUUCCCCCCCCCCAACCCACAUGCAUCUCGAACCCUUGCCAGGUGUGUGCCUCACAUUUUGAAGAGAAGCGGCCACAGGGCAUUUUCUGUAAGAGAUCUGCUUUUCACGUCUGUGGGCCUUUGGCCCAGGAUAGGCCUGGAUGGCCGCUGGCAUAAUAAAUCUUUAUUAGUGGAUGAGUCAAGUUCUCGGCAGACUGAAGUAAAGAAACAUUUUGCGAGCGGGUUUUUGUUCUGUCACUCUCAUGUUUGCUAGCAAAGUUUUGCUUUAGAGCAGGAGUGGGAAACCUUUCUUUUCUUUUGGCCCCCAAAGGCCACAUUUCAUUGUGGGCAACCCUUAUGGGGCCACAUGAUGGGUGUGACUCUUUUGUACAGUAGGCUAUAUCCCAGCCAUGCAAAAGUCACAGAGGUUUCUAUGCCAGCCUGUUUCCAGGCACAAUUCAAAGUGCUAGCUAUGACCUAGACAACUUAGGCCCAGGCUGCUGGAUUCUCCUAUAGGAACCUGCCCGGGCUCUGAGUUCUUUGGGGAAAAGGCACUUCUUUCACCUUGCCAUUCUCACAGGCACACUUGGUAGAGAAAGGAGAGAGGGCCUUCUUGGUGGUGGCUCCCAGACUUUGAAACUUCCUUCCUAGGGAGGCUAGUCUGGCUCCCUCCCUGUUGUCAUUCCACUAGCAGAUGAAGACCAGAAUGUGGCAGCUAGACUGGUGAUUGGGAGUGGCUGCCGAGACCAUAUAACACCCAUUCUGAAAGACCUUCAUUGGCUCCCAGUACGUUUCCGAGCACAAUUCAAAGUGUUGGUGUUGACUUCUAAAGCCCUAAACCAGGCUUCCUCAAUCUCAGCCCUCCAGAUGUUUUGAGACUACAAUUCCCACCAUCCCUGACCACUGGUCCUGCUAGCUAAGAAUCAUGGGAGUUGUAGGCCAAAAACAUCUGGAGGGCUGAGGUUGAGGAAGCCUGCCCUAAAUGGCCUCGGCCCAGUAUACCUGAAGGAGCGUCUCCACCCCCAUCGUUUAGCCCGGACACUGAGGUCCAGCUCUGAGGGCCUUCUGGCGGUUCCCUCCAUGGGAGAAGUGAGACUGCAGGGAACCAGGCAGAGGGCCUUCUUGGUAGUGGCACCCACCCUGCGAAAUGCCCUCCCAUCAGAUGUCAAGGAAAUAAACAACUACCUGACUUUUAGAAGACAUCUGAAGGCAGCCCUGUUUAGGGAAGUUUUUAAUGUCUGAUGUUUUAUUGUGUUUUUAAUACUCUGUUGGGAGUGCCCAGAGUUGCUGGGGAGGCCUGGCCAGAUGGGCGGGGUAUAAGUAAUAAAUUGUUAUUAUUAUAUAUUAUAAUUCCAACAGGCUUUGGGGAACUGACUGCUUUUAAGGAAAGGGCUCUUAAAUAGCAUGCUGUACUUGGUUGUUGUUUUGCUACCUGCAUUUUAAUUUCUUUGGGCUUUUUGCAUUGUUUUAAUUCUAUAGUUUAACCAUAACCAUUUAUAUGUUUUUAGCUACGUGUGUUUGUUUUAAUUUUUGUCAGCUGCCUCUAGUCCCUGUUCUGGGGGAAAGGCAGGAUACAAGCCAACCAUUCAUACAUGAAUCUCUCGCAUCUCUCCACCUUCCAUCCCGGCAUGACAAAGGCAUUGUCACAGUGAAAUGUUUAAGUCGGCAGCAGUUGUACUAUUUUGAUGCAGGGAUACUGACCACAUAGUAAUAUGAGUGAGCCCCCGCCCUGCCUUUACUUAAUUUCUCUUCUGAUGCACUGCAGCCUCAAUUUGCUGUUACAAUAAGGUUAGAGCAGGCGGUGAGCCCUCUGCCAAUAGCAAGCUUUGAUUUCCUGUUUUAUAUUAUCAUACUAUUUUGGCUGUGUCUUGGCACCAGAAGGCUGCACAAGAGGUUCUCUGUGUAUUUUGCUGAAUUUUUGAUGGCCCGGCUUGGGAUGGGACAGUAAUUAAAUGGACUGCAGGUUGGGACACACAGCAGAUUAGAGGAAAAGUGCUGAAUAAACAUAUUUUAAAAAUAAAAUAAAAACCAAACCAUACCGGUGUGUAAUUAAAUUGCUUGCUGAUCUGUUGGACUUGGGUGACUGCAAAUAAGAUUAUCUCCUAAUAUGCCUCUCAAGGCUCUGUCUCUCUCUCACACAAUUUUUCCUUUUCCUUUUUGUGGUAAGGUGCUGCCUUACAAAUGUUCUAUAUGCUGGUCACGUAGGUGCAGGUUUGGUUGGUUUUAUCUUUUUUUAAAGUUUCAGCACUUAAAUGGAGUAUGUGCAUGUUUAGCAAAACCUUUGAUCAAACAGAGAUGGCACCGGUGGAGGACUGUUCAUUUGGCUAAUGGGGUGCUGGCCCUUACCCACUGGCGGAAGAAGGGGGGUGCGGUGGAUGCGGUCCACCCCAGGUGUCAUCCCGGUGGGGGGGUGACAUCGCCGCCCCGCCCCCCUGGGAUGCUGGCCCCGCCCCUGCAGGUGGCUAGCCCCGCCCCCGGGUGCACAGCAUGUGUGCCGCUCCGAGUGCCACAGCAGCUAGCUCUGCCUCUGCCCCCGCCAGUCUUUCUAUGUACUUAGUCAGCCCAAAGAGUGGCCCUGCCUGACAGCUUUCUCCUGCUUAGUGUCAAAUAUUUGGAGCCUAAGUCAUUUAGGGCUUUAAAAACUAAUGUGCACAGCUUGUUAGAUUUUUUGGGGAGUUGAUAUAAGGCCCAUUUUUUAAAAAGUGAAGAUUGCAAGCGGUUUUGAAAUGCAGCUUUGGGCAAGAUUCCAAGAGACUUUCCUUUGGCUGACGAAAAACCCUCAAAACUUCCUAGACCAUCCAUCUCUUUUGGACAUGGGGUGUAUUUUUAAAGUCCCUUUUCACUGGCUGGGAUACUCAAUGCAAAGAACUAUAAUUGCUGGUUAACUGGUCUGGUAAACAGAGCCCUGUGUAGACAUGCAGUAAUUGAGGCUGUGUGGGUCGCCCGGUUUAAUUACUGUCUGAAUACUUGGAAUAGAAACUUUUCAGCAGCCACCAUAUCAUAGAGCAUCCGAUUAAGUAAACAAAUUGGUAGCUGCUGAACCACACGGCCAAGUGACGAGAGGAUUCUCCAAUCCUUCCCUCGAGGUCUUGGAGAAAUUAUGCCCAGGGUAGCCAGAGGCCUUGUGGGUAUUUCUCCCACACAUCUGGCAAAAGAGUGGCUUAAUUGCACUCCCAGAUGCAACCCAUGCCAGAUGAUUCCCCCACCAUCCCCCCAGCAACUUCUCUCUUGCUGACGGAUGAAAUUAGACUUGGCACGAUGACCUCAUGGUCCAUUACAGACACACCUUAUCCCGGACAUACUGGCUCAGGGCAGAUGUUAUGACAGCUGCAGGGAUGAGAUUUAGAGGCAGGCAAAUCAUGUUAUUGCCCAGGGUGCCAAACCUUUUUUUUUUUUUUUUUUUUGCAGUGGUGGGGGACAGUGGCACCAGGCUGGAGGUGCGACUGUUAUGAACUACAGUCAUACCUUGGAAGUCAAACGGAAUCCACUCUGGAAGUCCUCUUGACUUCCAAAAUGUUCAAAAACCAAAGCACUGCUUCUGAUUGGAAGCUCCUGCAGCCAAUCGGAAGCUGUGGAAUCCCCAUCAGACGUUCAGCUUCCAAAAAUCGUUCAAAAACCGGAACACUUACUUACUUACACGGGUUUCGAUCAUCCGGGAGCCGAUUUGUUUGGGAGCCAAGGCGUUCGAGAUCCAAGGUGCGACUGUAUCUACUCCAGGACUGGGGAAUAUUUUUCAGAUGGGGGAACACAUUUGCUUCUAGGCAAGCUUCCAGGGCCCCCACGUCAAUGGUGGGCACAGCCAGAGGUGAAAGUGGCCGGAGUAAUUAAUGUUCAUGUCAUGUUUUAUGCAGCAGGUAGUUUCUGCACACAAUUGCACACCCUUCUCUACCCUCCAGCCAGGUUAGCAGGAAUUCCAGGACACAUUUCAUCUGGGGAAGCCCCCCUCCCCCAAGAACAAACACUCAAGGUGGGUGCAGGGUACAUUGGGUGAGGGGGGUGUGUUGCUUUGGAAGUUGGGUGGCCUGGGGGAAAGUCCUGAGGGUCUGAUAGAGAAGUGUCAAGGGCCACAUGUGGCCUCCCCGCAGGUCUGAGGUUAUGUGCCGUGAAGAAACUGGCUAUGCUGCACAUGUCACAGAGUUAUGGAGGAGAGGAGAAGGAGGGAUCCUGAAAUGGCUUUCGAAAUACUUUUUUCCGUGGUGACAAAGGAACUCUAGAGAUGCUUUUUCCUCUGAAAAUCCAAUUUUUACGUACUCGGGGUCUAUAUGCGUGUGUGUGUGUUUGUGGGUGGGGGGAAGCCCCAAAGUGAAUGAAGAAUACUUGGAAUGCAGCCAGAACAAUCUGGGCCCCUGCUUGUUUCUCACUCUCUCCCCUCCCCCCCCCCCACCCCUGGCCACUGUCUUCUAUUUUUGAUGCUGGUUACAUGGUUUCCUGUUUGUUGCAAAAUAUGUGGGUUUCUGAAUGUUGCACCUGCGGUGAAUUCCAUACAUUACACCCUUCCUGUCUGCAAAUGGGCGCCCACAACCGUUUCCCUCCCCACCCACCAUAAGCGUUCACAGCAAGUCCUUUUGAACUAGAUCUCUGCCUUCUUUCUAGGAUGGAGGUUACUGAGUGGAGUUAUAAUGGGGAACCAGGACAAAAGAAUCAAGUGUGCUCAUCUGAAUCAGAACCCGUGAACUUGCAGCCCCAUUGGAUAUGGCUGAACUACAACCCCCUUAAUCCCUGACCAUUGGCCAUGCCAGCUGGGGCUGAUGGGAAAUGGAG